Molecule: long non-coding RNA, 54655 nt
Filed under: Ananas comosus (pineapple)
Lineage: Eukaryota; Viridiplantae; Streptophyta; Magnoliopsida; Poales; Bromeliaceae
Description: long non-coding RNA (ACOM_LNC033021)
Source: RNAcentral
UAUAAUUUUCACUUUCAUAUUUUUCAGAUCCACACGUAAGUGACACGGCGGUGUAAGGAAAGGGCGUAGCUCGAUAGAUAGCGCCCUACCACUUUGUGACCAAGAUAGAUGUAUCCGUGGAUCUGUAUAGCUUAAGGGUAUUAAAAAUAAUGAAAGAAAAUGUAAUCAAAUUUGAUUGUAUUUGGAAGAAAAAAAAUGUAAAUAUAAUAUGAAUGUGACGAAUACUUGUAAUAGCAUAGUUGUUUUAUAUUUUUGAUACUUUCUUAUACAAUAUGUAUAUAAAUUUUGUUCAUAUAUAUUUGGAAUAUUUUGAAUUAUACUGAUUAUGACGUCUUGGGUGAAUAUGAAAAAUUCUGUCCGUUUGGCGGGUCUGGCACGUGUAGGACUCCUUCCAUCUAUUUGGAGAAAGGACGACGGGACACGACAGAAAAAUAAAUUCUAAAGUGGAACAUUCUAAUAUUUAUCGCCCUUUCUUUUGGGUCCGUCCUAAUUUAAGUUUUUUAAGAAUAAUGAUCAUUUUGUAUUCUUUAGCAUGGUAUCAAAGUAGAAAUUUAUGAGUUCUAGUUUCCGUUAGGCUCCUAUGAUUAUUUAAUUAAGCUUAUGUCUUAAGUCUCUUAAAAAGUUUCGAAAUUGGCUUUUUAUUCAAAAAGGAUGCUAAACUAGAUUAAUCCAAUCAUUUGCUGAACUUACAUGCCAAUAAAGUCUACUACUAGCUAGGUUGUGAAAUUAACAAGUGCUUAUAAGAGGCAAAUCAGUUUUAUUGAGUCACGACAAAUUUGAGUAAUGAUUAGAGACCAGAUCCCUGCAUAUCAAUCUCAAUAUCAACAUCACCUAUAUAUAAAUAUGGGGCAAUUGCUUAUAUAUUCCUGAAAAAUUUCUGAAUUUCAGAUUUACCCCUCUUAGAAGGCUAAUAUUAAAAAUACCUUUUUUACGUUCAACCUAUUUCUAAUAUAUCCCUAGGUUAAAAUCUGUUAAUGAACUCUGUUAUCUCUGUAAAAUUACUAUUUUGCCCUUUCAAAUAUAUCCUUCUGUCAUCACCGACUUUUUUUAUUUGUCCUUAAGUUAGGGCUACAAAAAGAAUUUUACUUUUUAAUUUUUUUAAAUAUACUCUUCUACCAUCACCAAUAUUUUUUAUUUGCCAUUAAGUUAAGGACAAAAGUGGUAUUUUAUUUUUUUUAAACUGUGGUAGAUAUUUAAUUCACGUUUAAUCCAAAUUAACUUAACGAGUGGUAACUGUAGGGAUAUUUUGGAAUAACGGAGAAAUAUAUAAGGGAUAUAUUAGAAAGAAAAAAAUAAAGAUAAAUAAAAUAUUUUUAAAUUUUUGAAGGGUAUAUAGGCAAUAAUCCCUAUAAAUAUAUGUCAUAAUAUAGUGCCAUCACUCUCUCUUAUCUCACUAUUAUUAUUUUAUGCUAUAAUAGUAAUUUCACUGUAAUAGUAUAUGUGGUCCCAAUGCUCUUUCAAAGGAUUUUGUUGUUAUUUUAUAGAAACAUAUGCAGCUUUUGGUCCAAAGCAAAUCGAUUGGCGACAUGUUGAUAGCCUUUCAAAAAGACUUUUUCAUUAGCUUCUCGUGUCACCAAUAUAUACUAGUUAAGCAACCCUGCGCGAAACUGUAAAAAGUCAAUACAAUAGUAAAUUAUUAAAAUUAUUAAUAUUAAUUUUUUUUCUAUUAUGCAUUAAUAUUUUUAAAUAUUAUUUAUUUUCGUAUUGAAUAAUUAAAAAUUAAAGAAUAAACUAAAGAAUGAAAUUAAAGUAUAUUUCUUUCUAAAAUUAUUUAAAUCUAAUAAGUAAAAUGAAUAAAUCGGUUUAAAAUAAAACAACAGCUCAUUACAGUAUUAAGAAAGAUAAAUAAUAUUUCUCUAUUAUCAUCAAGAUAGAAUUUAUAAGAAAAAAUAAAAAAAAACUAAGUGGAGUGAAAGUACUAUCUUUAGUAUAAUUAAUGAAGACGUUGUUUUAUUUUAAACCGAUUUAUUCAUUUUACUUAUUAGAUUUAAAUAUUUUUAGAAAGAAAUAUACUUUAAUUUUAUUCUUUAGUUUAUUCUUUAAUUUUUAAUUAUUCAAUACGAAAAUAAAUAAUAUUUAAAAAUAUUAAUGCAUAAUAGAAAAAAAAAGUAAUGUUAAUAAUUUUAAUAAUUUACUAUUAUAUUGACUUUUUGCAGUUUCGCACAGGGGUUGCUUAACUAGUAUAUAUCGGUGACGCGAGAAGCUAAUGAAAAAGACUUUUUGAAAGGCUAUCAACAUGUCGCCAAUCGAUUUGCUUUGGACCAAAAUAAAAAAUAAAAAAAGGGAGGUACACAUACAACUAAUAAAAUAUUUGAUUCCUAAAUUUAAAUUAGCGAAGAAAUCAGUAGGUAAUUAUCAGAAACACAAAAAAUAUAACUAAUCAAAAGACAUGCGAAAUCAAAAUAAAUAUUUUUUACACUGUAAAAGAUUCAACUAUCAAAUAUUAUAUUUUUAUUAUAUAUAUUAAUCCUUAAAAAAUUAUUUGUGAACUAAAGUGAAAAACAUGCAAAGUUUAGAUAUUAGAGACCAAAAUAAAAAAGAGUGAAAAAAUUGGGACCCAAUGUGCAAUUAAUCCUUCAAAAAAUUGGUGUGGGCCCCACAACCUUUCAAAAUAAAGGGAGGUCUUUUCUUGGGUUCCAAAUUAGCGUAUAAAUAAAUAGAUUAUAAAUAAAUAUUGUGAAAGAGAGUGAGAGAGUGUGAGAGAGAGAAACAAAAAAAAAAAAGUGGGCCCCACAGGGCCCCCUGUCACGUCUCGGAUUACAGCGGAAGUCCGGAUUACGUCAACAGAUCCGCCGCAUGCACAAAGAUACACCUUAUACAUACGAAGCGUCAACAAAAUUAACUAAAAUCUAACAAUAAUAGGUAUCAGAGAAAAAUAAAACUAUAUACUAUAGUAACACUAUAACGAUUUACAAGCAUCACCACACUAGUCUUCAAAAUAGUACAACAUUUUUUACCAUUCCAAGUAUCAAAUAAUUGUACAGACUGCUCGCUAAUAGGUGAUCCAACUAUACAUUAAGAAGGGUAGGAGAUGCUAUCUAUCCACAAUCCCCUUAUCUAGAUCAGUCGCUGGUGUUGAAGGCUCUGAAAUAAAAUAUUAAAUAAGAAGGCAUGAGAACUAUAAUCAAUAGUUCCCAGUGGGUACGAUCAUCAACACUGACGGUCUACCACUAUGUCCAUAAGAUGCAAAAAUAGUAAAUACUGAGCAAUAUGAAAAAACAGGUACUAAUAUGAAUAAUUGCCGAAAAUAACUAUUACUAUCAUGCCUCUACAAUAUAGCUGAAAUUAUAAAUUAUAUUUUAUGGAUGCAUUAGUUAGAGAUUAAAUAAAAUACUACAAUAAUGCCUAAUCAUAGUGACCGACUCAACAGUCGAGUUUAGCCUACGCCGCCUCGUGUCCAGCACCCACCUACAGUGGUCUGCUACCACACAAGUUACUGUCUAGCCCAUGCCAUAAUAAUAUCUCAUAGCCCAAAUACCGAGUAUAGUAUCACUAUCAAACUCAACAUAGCGUGCUGAUUGUGGUCAAAUGCAAUGAUCAAACAGAUCAUGAUAAUACUGUCAUAAUGUCUAAAAUACAGUUAUAGUCUACACUCUCUGUAGUUGUUUAUUGAUCUUCAGAAAAAUAUCAAAUAUAUAUAUAUCUCCAUUUACUCUACUAACAGGUAUCAAAGUACCGUAAUUAUCUCAACUAUAUCAAUAGUUCAUCUCACAGAUUAAAUAAUAUAAUAUGGAUAUAGAAAUUAGUCCGUCAAUUUUGACAACACGAAACUCACCUAUAACGCAAGUCCAAGAAAAUGAACGGUAAACGAGAUAGCAGCUACAACACUCUAAAAUAACUCGAAAAUUCCUCAUCAAGAUUACGCGAAAUCCGCUUCUAAAAUGUAUAAAAAAAAUCAGUUUCUAACUCUCAAUUUCUACCAAAUAUUUAGCAAAAAAAUCUAAACGAGAAAUAAUAAUAUUGUGAUACUAACUACAACGUCGAAACACCAAAAAUAAACACGCACCCCCCCCCNNNNNNNNNNNNNNNNNNNNNNNNNNNNNNNNNNNNNNNNNNNNNNNNNNNNNNNNNNNNNNNNNNNNNNNNNNNNNNNNNNNNNNNNNNNNNNNNNNNNNNNNNNNNNNNNNNNNNNNNNNNNNNNNNNNNNNNNNNNNNNNNNNNNNNNNNNNNNNNNNNNNNNNNNNNNNNNNNNNNNNNNNNNNNNNNNNNNNNNNNNNNNNNNNNNNNNNNNNNNNNNNNNNNNNNNNNNNNNNNNNNNNNNNNNNNNNNNNNNNNNNNNNNNNNNNNNNNNNNNNNNNNNNNNNNNNNNNNNNNNNNNNNNNNNNNNNNNNNNNNNNNNNNNNNNNNNNNNNNNNNNNNNNNNNNNNNNNNNNNNNNNNNNNNNNNNNNNNNNNNNNNNNNNNNNNNNNNNNNNNNNNNNNNNNNNNNNNNNNNNNNNNNNNNNNNNNNNNNNNNNNNNNNNNNNNNNNNNNNNNNNNNNNNNNNNNNNNNNNNNNNNNNNNNNNNNNNNNNNNNNNNNNNNNNNNNNNNNNNNNNNNNNNNNNNNNNNNNNNNNNNNNNNNNNNNNNNNNNNNNNNNNNNNNNNNNNNNNNNNNNNNNNNNNNNNNNNNNNNNNNNNNNNNNNNNNNNNNNNNNNNNNNNNNNNNNNNNNNNNNNNNNNNNNNNNNNNNNNNNNNNNNNNNNNNNNNNNNNNNNNNAAUAACUCAAAUUCAAUCCCCCCCCCCCCCCUUUUUUAUUUUGUUUUCCUUUUUCUCUUGGUCGACCUCACUUUCCCUCUCCUUCUCUUUUUCUUUUUUUUUUUUGCCUUAUCGAAAGUGAUAAGGCUCAGGCGUGCCUCUUAAGGCAUGCAUGAAGGCUACGUGGCCACCAAGGAAUAUACAAAGGGAAAAAAAAAAAACAAAAAGACCCCUCAAGAUCAAAUAUUUCGACUUUAGUCCAAAACAAUUAAAUCUUGAGUUUUAAAGUUCGUUUUUACGCCUAUUUUGUACAAAACGUCUCCAACUCAAUCAAACAUAAAUUUAUACUGUAAUCUUGCCAAUUUGUUAAGGUUCAGUAUAUCACAACCCCAAACCCGGGGAGCCCUCGUAUGGGUUCUCAAUUCAUGUACUUAAUUAUUUAUAAAUAGAGAGAGUCCGGUUAUGAUAUUUUUAAAAGUAUAAAAUAUUUGGUGCUCGUAAGUUUUUCACCGUUAAAUUUAUUCCUUUGAUUAUUUUUAUCUGCCAUAUCAUAUUANAUAUAUAUAUAUAUAUAUAUAUACUAUCGGUAACAUACGAGCUCCGCUGCUAUCGAUUUAUUAUUAGUGAUGGAGCCUCCAAAUCGACAAUCGGUAUCAUUGAAUGAUUUGAACCACAUGACGUAUUUAGAAAUUAAAUUUUAAAUUUUUUCGACAUCAGUGGCCUAAUAAUUAAAGGAUUGCAAAAAUUAUAAUUUAAUGGUCAAUACGAAAUAUUUUCUCGCUUAGUAGUGUAAAAAAAUUCAAAUCAGUUGAAAUUUUGUUAAAAAAAACUUGAAACUAUUUAAAGCAAGAUCUAUGCUCUGAUCUCAAUUACAAAAAUCUCAUGAUUACUUUCUGAAAGAUAUUUUUUUCCGACCCUUCAUUCUUUGUAUCCGCUUGAUGUACGAAAAAUUAAUAUUGGAAAAACAUAAAAUCGAUUUAUAGAAACUUUAAGUGGUCUAAAACUCUAAAUUAUAUUCAACAGUCCCGAUCAUCGAUUCGGAAACUCCAUCAUCGAAGAUAAAUUAAUAGCAAAGAAGUUCGUUUGCUUUUAGCUGAACUCUCUCUAUAUAUAUAUAGGGUGCGUUUGAAUUAUAUUAUUAGACCAAAUAUAAAAUUAUUUGGUGUAAGUUUGAGCAGUCUAAGGGUGGUGCCAAGACAUUUACCGAAAAACUAAUAUGUGGCAGUGGAUUUUGGGCUCCUGACUCCUUAAUGAGGCGUCGUUGGGGAGCACCUACUAAAGCUUCAUUAGUUCACUCAUCCCAUCAUCGAUUUUAAAAAAAUAUUUCUUAUUGUACUUUUUUUUCUCCAAUAGAAGGAUUUGAUUGGUUAGAACACAAAUGAUGUGGUGUGAUCUCCACCAGGAUUAACAAUCUAGCUCGCUCGAAAUGAGAUUCGAGAUCGAUUGGUUGUUUAAUAAAUGAGCCAAACAUAAGCUAAACAUUUCAAAUUUUUACAACUUAAAGUUUAGAUCAACUCAUAUAUAAAGAAGCCUAUAUUUUAUAAAUUUUAAUUAUUAGAUUGAAAUUUUAAUUUUCAAAUUUUCUUUCAACUUUUCAUUCGGUAGUGGUGGAGCUAGAAAGCUAACUUAUUGUUCGUGAGUCAGCUUGUAUUAGACUCAUCAAUAAGUAAGCUAAGUAUAAAGUAAAUUUUUUAGCUCAAUAUUUUAACAUAUCGAAUACAAGAUUGUUGACAACUCUGAAUGUCUAAUUGUACAAAAGCAAAACCCUAUUUUUAUAUUAUAUUUAUUAUAAUUCUGAUCAAACUUUCAAAUACUUGCCAGAUUCAAUCAUCCUGAACGUGUCGAUCUCAGCGUCACCAUCACAUCUUUCAAUAAGAAUAAAACCUUUUUUACCCCACCAUUACUUUAUUUCAAAAAAGUGCAAGGGAAUAUGCUUGAUUGACCAUAAGAUUUUGUGGUUAUUUUAUUAAGAAUGAUGUGGCAGCUGUUUGGUCCAAAAGCAGAUUAUCAGUGUGGACUCUUGAUAUCCUCGAAAAUCACUUCCUUUCUUGGCUUUGUCAAAUAUAUAUAUAUAUAUAUAUAUAUAUAUAUAUAAAGAUNNNNNNNNNNNNNNNNNNNNNNNNNNNNNNNNNNNNNNNNNNNNNNNNNNNNNNNNNNNNNNNNNNNNNNNNNNNNNNNNNNNNNNNNNNNNNNNNNNNNNNNNNNNNNNNNNNNNNNNNNNNNNNNNNNNNNNNNNNNNNNNNNNNNNNNNNNNNNNNNNNNNNNNNNNNNNNNNNNNNNNNNNNNNNNNNNNNNNNNNNNNNNNNNNNNNNNNNNNNNNNNNNNNNNNNNNNNNNNNNNNNNNNNNNNNNNNNNNNNNNNNNNNNNNNNNNNNNNNNNNNNNNNNNNNNNNNNNNNNNNNNNNNNNNNNNNNNNNNNNNNNNNNNNNNNNNNNNNNNNNNNNNNNNNNNNNNNNNNNNNNNNNNNNNNNNNNNNNNNNNNNNNNNNNNNNNNNNNNNNNNNNNNNNNNNNNNNNNNNNNNNNNNNNNNNNNNNNNNNNNNNNNNNNNNNNNNNNNNNNNNNNNNNNNNNNNNNNNNNNNNNNNNNNNNNNNNNNNNNNNNNNNNNNNNNNNNNNNNNNNNNNNNNNNNNNNNNNNNNNNNNNNNNNNNNNNNNNNNNNNNNNNNNNNNNNNNNNNNNNNNNNNNNNNNNNNNNNNNNNNNNNNNNNNNNNNNNNNNNNNNNNNNNNNNNNNNNNNNNNNNNNNNNNNNNNNNNNNNNNNNNNNNNNNNNNNNNNNNNNNNNNNNNNNNNNNNNNNNNNNNNNNNNNNNNNNNNNNNNNNNNNNNNNNNNNNNNNNNNNNNNNNNNNNNNNNNNNNNNNNNNNNNNNNNNNNNNNNNNNNNNNNNNNNNNNNNNNNNNNNNNNNNNNNNNNNNNNNNNNNNNNNNNNNNNNNNNNNNNNNNNNNNNNNNNNNNNNNNNNNNNNNNNNNNNNNNNNNNNNNNNNNNNNNNNNNNNNNNNNNNNNNNNNNNNNNNNNNNNNNNNNNNNNNNNNNNNNNNNNNNNNNNNNNNNNNNNNNNNNNNNNNNNNNNNNNNNNNNNNNNNNNNNNNNNNNNNNNNNNNNNNNNNNNNNNNNNNNNNNNNNNNNNNNNNNNNNNNNNNNNNNNNNNNNNNNNNNNNNNNNNNNNNNNNNNNNNNNNNNNNNNNNNNNNNNNNNNNNNNNNNNNNNNNNNNNNNNNNNNNNNNNNNNNNNNNNNNNNNNNNNNNNNNNNNNNNNNNNNNNNNNNNNNNNNNNNNNNNNNNNNNNNNNNNNNNNNNNNNNNNNNNNNNNNNNNNNNNNNNNNNNNNNNNNNNNNNNNNNNNNNNNNNNNNNNNNNNNNNNNNNNNNNNNNNNNNNNNNNNNNNNNNNNNNNNNNNNNNNNNNNNNNNNNNNNNNNNNNNNNNNNNNNNNNNNNNNNNNNNNNNNNNNNNNNNNNNNNNNNNNNNNNNNNNNNNNNNNNNNNNNNNNNNNNNNNNNNNNNNNNNNNNNNNNNNNNNNNNNNNNNNNNNNNNNNNNNNNNNNNNNNNNNNNNNNNNNNNNNNNNNNNNNNNNNNNNNNNNNNNNNNNNNNNNNNNNNNNNNNNNNNNNNNNNNNNAGAGAGAGAGAGCGAGAGAGAGAGAGAGAGAGAGUUGAGCUAAAAUAUUAUCGAUAGCAAACGAACUCUGUUGCCACCCAUUUAUUUUCGAUGAUGGAGUCUCCAAAUUGAUGAUCGGCACCGUUGAAAAUAAUCUAUACCACUUAAAGUGUUUAAAAAUCAAAUUUCAUACAUUUCCGAUAUUGUUCUCUUAUCCAUCGAGUGGACACAAAAAUGAACGGCUGAAAAUGAAUAUUCUUUAAAAAAUGAUGAUAGGAGUCUUGUAAUCAAGAUUAAGAGUAUAGAUCUUGUUUUAAAUAGUUUAAAGAAUUUUCUAACAAAAAUUCAAUUGAUUUGGAUAUCUUUACGCCGUUAAACGAAAAAAACUUCAUAUCGACUAUUAAAAUUAUAAAUUUUGGAACCCUUUAAUCAUUAGGCAAAUGAUAUCGAAAAAAUUUGAAAUUUGAUUUCUAAAUACUUCAAGUGGUAUAGUUCAUGUUCAACGGUGCCGAUCGUCGAUUUUGAGGCUCUAUCAUCGAAAACAAAUGAAUGGCAACGGAGCCCAUUUGCUAUCGAUAGUAUUCUAGCUCAACUCUCUCUCUCUCUCUCUCUCUCUCAUUAUAUUGUAUAUAUUAUUAUAUAUAUUCAUAGUUCGGCCUAUUAUGCUAUUAAUACACGAAGCACUUGGUGCUACAAGUUUUCCACCGUCUUAGAGUCUACCUUUUGAAUCAAUUUUCACACCGUUAGAUUAUAUUCAACAACCACCGCACUCACCCUGAGGUGCGUGUAGAUCUACUGACAUGAUCGACUUGGUGCUAUUAAUAUAUAAUUAGCUACAUAUAAUAUAUAUAUAUAUAUUAAAUAUAUUAUAUUAUAUAUAUAUAUAUAUAUUAUAUAUAUUAAUAUAGUAGACCUAGGCUACUAUGCUAUGCUUAUGGAAUAGCCAUCGAAGUGUCACGCUCCCGGGGUCCCUUUUAGUCUAAAAUAAAGCGGAAAAGCGCAGAAAUUUUUUUUCUUGAAAAAUUGACCCAGAGAGUAUGCCAGAUCCGCGCAGAACUACAGGAAAUCCACUAUUCACCGGACAGAGUCUCACCCUGUAUUUGCACGGGCGUCGCACAAGUACAAGAAGGUUCCAGGCACUAACCACAACAAAUGAAAUACAAAUAACAAGCCGUUAUAUUAUAUUCAUACACAUUCACCACAGAUUCACAUUUAUGCAUAAAUACACUAUCAGUUUAAAUGUUUCAUCAACCACAGAAGAUAGGUUUUGAAUUACUAAGAUACAAAAUCACAGAAAAACUUUUUGAAACGUGUUCCCUAACACGGGAAGUUUAUCGUUUUUAAAAAAACGCUUAUCCACGAGGGUAGAAAAUCUUUUAUUUUACAAAAUCCAGACUUCUUUUAUUUAACGCUAAUGAAAUACCGAACCACAUAAACCAUACUAAACAUAUACAAUCAACGAAAUAAUAGGUGCAUAAUAAUUAAACGAAAUAAUCUGGGUCGGAGCUCUAUCGACCGUAUGUAUCUCACGUCUCGUCUCAACCCUCACCGUUCGCGAUACCCUGAAAAAAUAGUGGGGGAGGUGGAGAACAUAUUAAACAUGUUCUCCCUGCCCAAGUGGUACGCAAGCGAGAUAGGCGAGGAGUACUCACCGGACAGGAAGAGCUAUACAACAACACGGUGUCAGUGGGAAUAUUAGUAUUAAAUAAUAAACGAAAGCAGGUAUGUAGAGCUGACAAGUAUAGGAUGCAGGUAAAUUAAAAUAGUUAGCCAUACAAUAAACAAGAUAAGGACGUACUGGAAUAACAUACAGCUACUAUAUGCAUGCGUCAACUUGACUGAAUAACUUCAAAAGUACCCAAUCUCGCUGCCCUAUUGGUCUGAGAGACCUCAGGCCCAUGGCCACUACUUACUCAACCUGUACCUGACCGCUCGCAAUGAAGUCGCUGGGCCACUGGCAGAAGCAUAUACCCUCGCAAUAAAGCGUCUUGGGCUCCGCUGUUGGCAAUCCAACCACUGUUUCCGAAAAACAACACCCUUUGCGGUGGAUCAGACGCUGAGUGUUCGUUGAAGGUACCUAGUAGCGAUCAAUGUAGUAUGCUCAAAGAUCUUCCAUCGGCAACUAGCCGACAAUCCAGCCCCUCAGGGCACACCGACCGUAUAGGCCAUCAGCAACUAGUAGGCUACGUAUGUCAAGAUAGAACUGUAGCAACUCAACCGAAUAGGUCAUAAAUAUCAAAAUAGGGGAACCGCCCAACCAAAUAACAGAUAUAGUGAACAUAUAAGUCAACUCUACUCCUAAGCAUGAUAUCAACAUGGAACUAACUGAGUAGAGGAAUGCAGAUAUAAAAGCAGGUGCAAGGCUCAAUAUGUAUAUGCACACAGAUAAUAGUAAGAGGGCAAGGGUAAGAAACCAUCACCGAACGUGCACCACUGUACCGACGUCGGAUCGAAGUAUCCACAUGUACAACUGUCGCGCCUGUCUCCUGACUGCAAAAGAACGUCAACAGGACCUAAGGAAGGUCCUCUGGAUUAGUGUCUAAUCCACAACUAAGAAAUACUACAUCGUAAUCCCGCUAACAAACCCACGGAGAUCACUUUCCCAAAACCGACUACCGUAACUCGCCGGAAGUCCCGAAAAUCGCACCGGAACUCAUCGAGACCCACGAACUGUCCCGAAAUGUACCGACUCAAGAUACGAGUCACCCGCUGCCACUAAAUACAAAUUACAUGUGACUUGGCAGCAGAGACCUUAACUCACUCCAAAACGAUUAUCGUCGGGUAAUCGUUCCGAUCCGGAUUUCCGGAGGUGUUUAUUUCGACACCGGAAUCCACCGUCGCUCACCCGUCAUUUCUGAACUCUCGAAAUGACGCGAGUGACCAGCCAACAAGGCUCAGCGACUACACAAUAGCUCACGAAGCACCGUCGGAAUAAUUCCGAACCAAAACCAUGUUCCGUCGGCGGAUUUUGCCGACAAACGCACCGGAAUGCAUUUUCGAUCUUCGCAAAGGUCCGGGGCCUUGGACAAUCAGUCCAGAGGUCACCCACAACUCAUCCAUGCUGCCGACAGCAGCCGCGACGAACAAAGUUGCAUAAAAGCCCUUCCGAAUACCCAAAAUCGCAUUAUUUCAUGCGAUUUCGGCGCUUUUAUGGUCCGUCCAUGCAAACCAGAGGUCAAUCAGCCAAGCCAAGAUACCCACUGACAGGUUUCGACGUGCCGGAGGCCGUGCUUACCUUUCGGAGCAAUUUUGGCCACUGUAGAGAGCGCGGGGGUGACGCGAAAGUCUGCGAAUAGCGCGCACAGUAUGAAAAGCAUGCUUAUCUCGCUAACCAGGGUCUCGCUGACCCUAAUUGAGGUGAGCACUGUGAUCAGCACUGACAAAUGAUCACCGUGCUCACUUCUGGAGGCAUCGGAACAGCCUCGGGUCGCCGGAACAGUAUACACAACCCCAAACAGUGCACAAUAAUUGCAAUACAAGCUUACCGGAGCUAGGCAGGGCUCGGGGUGGCCGGCGGCGGCCGGACGGCGGGCAGGCCGGCCAAGGGAAGGUGCUCCAGGUCAGAGGAGGCCAGGGCUCGCGUCAACAGGCGACGGGAGGCGGCGAUGACGGCGGGCAACGAUGCGCUAGUUGCACAACCCGAGGAGAGCAUGGGCUCACCACGGUUGACAGGGAGCUCCGGCGGCGGGUUAGCCGGCGGUGGACGGGUGCGGCCGGCCAGGCGGAGCCGGUGCUCACGCCGGACGGCGGCGGCGCCGGUGCUGGAUGUGGCUCGGUCUACACAAAGCCCAACCGGGCUGAGCCGAACAAGACGGCGGCGCUGGCGGCCGGGGGAGGUCGGGGGUGCACAUGGGCGACGGCGGUGGUUCGCCGGAGGCCGAGGGAAGGCGGCGCAGUCGAUCUGGAGAGGCGGCGGCGCGCGGGCCUCGAGCCCACCGUGCUCGGUUUGGGUUGACCGAGGGUGGCCGCUGGGAGCAGGGGCGGCGCCGGCGGGGACGGCGCCGGGGAGUUCCAGGAGGGUGGCGCUUCCAAUCCUGAGCGGCAGCAGGGCGAGGAGGAGGAGAUCCCACCACCUCGGCCAGAUCUGCUCAGAUCUGGCCGCAACUGGCCAGGGUGGUGGUGGCGGCGCUCGGGGGCGGCCGGGACGGCGGCGGCCGGCGGCGAUGAUGUUGGAGAAUGGUCUCGGCCAGAGGGUGGAGUCCGAGGGUGUGGGUUCACCCUGGUAGCAGCACAAGUGGGGGGUGAAGGGUGGUGAAGCAAGGAACAAUGGAGAGGUGGAGGAGCAGCCAGCUCCGGCGGCCGGCGGCGUGCUCUGGUGGCCGGAGCGCGCGCGGGGAGAGCAGGGGAACGUGAGGGAGGCGGUUAAGGAAGAGGAGGGGACCCAGGGUUAGGGUUUCAUGGUGACCUAACUCUAUGAUAUAUGUACAAUUACAGAAAAACCCACCUCAGCCCUAUUUUUAUAAUUUAGUCCCUGCCAUUGCGCGUAACUUGCGCAUACGCACCACCACGCUCGAUCUCAAGCGAUUCGGUACAUAAAAUACAAUGACUUUUGCGAAGUUUCCGAUUUGCCACCUUCGACCCCUCAGUGAACAUUUCGCGUUUCCCGAAAAUCCAUCCGUCGGAUUUUCGAUCUGACAGUGCCAUCGCGUUCAGCACGACGGGGACAUCGAAACUACGAUUUCGUUUCAUCCGAUUUGCUUGCCGAUUUGCGACAAAAUCUGACCUCUCUCCAACUAACCUAUAUAUCAUACAUAGGCCUUGGUGGAAACCCGAAAUCCUUUAAUUCAAACUCGUAUUUGAAUUCCCUGCCACCAGUAGGUACUUGAAACAUCUCUCACCCAUCUCCAGAUCACUUGUACAAAGCACGAGGAGUUUUAAAAUGCACGAAUAGCAAAGAGCGGAAACCCUCUUUUUGUUAAAACUCCUUUUUCUCGAAAACCGUGCGUCAAAUCCAAAAUCCGUCAGUGCCAUUGGUUCCAGAAUAGUUGAGCCAAUCAAAACGAGCUAUUGGAUCACUAUGAAUGGAGUCCGAUACGCGCCGAAAGCCAACUCUACUCCGUGGCUUCUUCGGAAAACCGGAGUUACUAUUCACUUAAGUGAAAACUAAUAAUUGCGUAACUUCUCCAUUCUAGCUCAUUUUCUCCUGAAACUUGACGAGUACUUAUGUAAUUAAAUUACACACAUAAAUAUCGUCAACAGAGAGUUUAGUUACACUGUCAAAAUCUCAGUCGUUACACCAAGUCAUUUGUGCUAUCAAAUUUUUGGCCAUUGGAUUAAGAGAUGUGUGGUUAGGAUGAUGUGGGCCCCCUAGGGUUGAGUGGGUGGUUGGUUGAAUAGUAUAAUCUAACGGGUGAAAAUGAUCAAAAGGGUAGAUCUAAGCGGAAAACUUGGUAGUAUCAAUUGCUUCGUGCUAUUAAUAGCACGCCGGACUAUAUAUAUAUAUAUAUAUAUAUAUAUAUAUAUAUAUAUAUAUAUAUAUAUAUAUAGAGAGAGAGAGAGAGAGAGAGAGAGAGAGAGAGAGAGUUGAGCUAGAAUGCUAUGGGUAGCAAACGUGCUCCGUUGCUUUCGAUGAUGGAGCUUUCAAAUUGACGAUCGGCACCAUUGAACAUGAUCUAUAUCACUUGAAGUAUCUAGAAAUUAAAUUUCAAAUCUUUUCGACAUCAUUUACCUAAUGAUCAAAAGGUUUCAAAAUUAGUAAUUUUAAUGGUUGAUAAGAGGGAUUUUCUCGUUUAACGGUGUAAAGCUAUCCAAAUCGAUUGAAUUUUGGUAGAAAAUUCUUUAAACUAUUUAGAACAAGAUUUAUACUCUCGAUCAUGAUUACAAAAUUUCUAUCAUCACUUUUUAGAGGAUAUUCAUUUUCAGCCGUUCAUUUUUAUGCCUACUUGAUGGACAAAAAAAUAAUAUCGAAGAAGUAUGAAAUUUGAUUUCUAGAUAUUCAACGGUGCUGAUCGUCUAUUUGGAGGCUCCAUCAUCGAAAACAAAUGGGUGGCAACGGAGACCGUUUGCUACCGAUAGUAUUCCAGCUCAACUCAAGAGUUGAGCUGGAAUACAAUCGGUAGCAAACGGUCUCCGUUGCCACCCAUUUGUUUUCGAUGAUGGAGCCUCCAAAUCGGUGAUCGGCACCGUUAAAUAUGAUCUAUACCACUUGAAGUACCUAGAAAUCAAAUUUCACACUUUUUCAAUAUUGUUCUCUUGUCCAUCAAGUGGGCGUAAAAAUGAACGGCUGAAAAUGAAUAUCCUCUAAAAAGUGAUGAUAGAAAUUUUCUAAUCAAGAUCAAGAGUAUAGAUCUUAUAAUAAAUAGUUUAAAGAAUUUGCUAACCAAAGUUCAAUUGAUUUGGAUAGCUUUACACCGUUAAACGAGAAAACGUCUCAUAUCUAUCAUUAAAAUUACAAAUUUUGAAACCAUUUGAUCAUUAGGUCAAUGAUGUCGAAAAGAUUUGAAAUUUGGUUUCUAAAUACUUUAAGGGGGUGUUUGGCCUAGCUUUUAAAAAGCGCUUUUGGCUGAAAAGUGAUUUUCGGCUCAAUAAAGCGUUUGGCAACUCACUUUUAAAACCUGAUUCUGCUUUUCAUAAUCAGAAAACUGAUUUUGAAGGCCCCAAAAUCAGAAGCAGAAAAAACUGCGUCUUGAAAUCUGAUUAUGAUUUUGGAUUUAAACUUCAAAUUUUAAUUUUUAUUUUAAUUUCAAUAUUUAAAUUUAAAUUUAAUUUAAAUUUUUAAAUUUCAGAUUCAUUUUUCAAUUCUUAAAUUUUAACUUUUAAAUUUUAUAUUUUGAAAAAUAGAUUUCAAAUUUCAAAUUUUAAAUUUUAAUUUUAAAUUUCAAAUCUCAAAUUUUAGAUUUUAAAAUUUCAAAUUUCAAAUUUAAGAUAAAAUUUAAAUUUUGACAUUUUAGAUUUUAAAAUUUAAAUGUAAAAAUUUAAAUUUUUUAAAUUUUAAAUUAUAAUUUUUAAUCUUCAAAUUAUAAGAUUUCAAAAAUUUAGAAUUGAAUAUUUAAAAUUUAAAAUUUAAAAUAUUCAAUUUUUAAAUUUUAAAUUUUAAAUUUCAAAUUUUAAAUUUUAAAUUUAAAUAUUCAAAUUCUAAAUUUUAAAUUUAAAUAUUCAAAUUUAAACUUAAAUUUUAAAUUUCAUAACUAUUUUAAAUUUUAAAUUUUGAAUUUAAAAAAUUUAAUUCUAAAUUUAAAUUUGAAAUUUAAAAUUUAUAUAUAUUUUAAUAUAUAAUAUUAUAUAUUUUAUAUGUAUCAAUUUUUAUAUUUUUACAUUUAAUAUUUUAAAUUUUAAAUUUUAAAUUAGAUUUAAAUUUUAAAUUAAAUUCUAAUUUAAAGUUGAUAAAUUUUAAUUUAAUUUAUAUUUUUAUAUAUUAAAAUUUUAUAUUUUAAAUUCAUAAUUAAUUAUAUUUUAAAUUUAUAUUUAUUGUCACCCCGCCGGAUGUCUCAUUCCUCGGGCACGCCAACAAAUCCGCCUGAUACAAGGAAUUUCGCCCUGAUACGAAGCGUCAAUGUACCUGUAGAAAUACAAUACUACAAACAGUAGCAAGAGCUUCUCAAAAAAAAAGCUAAUAUCUGAGUUUCAUAUACAUAGCUAGAACCCAAAAUACAAAGCUCACUGGCGAGUUUAAACAACUAUGUACAUAAACUCCAAAACAAAACUACCCUGCAGUAGGGGAAAGCCUCUUAGCUCUGACUGUCGGGUAGGGCUCUAGCUGCGCAACGCCCUUGCCUCGAUCCUGAUCGCCAGAGAUCCAGCAGCCGCGCACCGUGUGGCUUUGCAAAACAUAAGUAAAACUGGGCGUGAAACACUGUAAAAAUAAGUAACCUCAGUGGGUACCGCCAAUAACGACAUCGGUACCCCACUAAGUCGCUAUAGAAGAGAGCUAAGGAGAGAGCAAAAGCAGGAAUUGAACACUCUACCGCUAUCAUCCACUACACUAUCAUGCUCUAUCAACUAACCAACUGUAGAAAUGUCAAAUCUGACGCCAAUCCAAAUCGGGACUGUAAGCAUACCGUCCCUGGGACUGUGAAUACACCCGUCCCUGCCCGUUGCGACUAUCGGCUCUAUCCACUCUAAACUUGGUCCAUGGAGAGCAAGUCCAUGGCAUGAGCGACCCCCAACGCGAAACACAAGCCUGACUCGCGGUGGCACUCGUGUGCGCUAACCAACAGUAUGCAGCGUAUCUUUGUCGAGCUAACACAGGCUCUGGAAAGCAAAGUCAAGAAACCGACUCUCAACGGUCUAAACACUAACAGGUAAGUCCCCUCGCACAUCUGACAAGUCAAAGGCGAUACGCGGUCCACUGUUCAACUCUGACGGCACCCAACAGUCCGAAAUAACCUGAACGACCGGCGGUAAAAUCCACCUCGGCGACCAGCACGAUGUAAAUAUAUUCACACCUGGAAUAACUCGCUCGACAAUACUGCGACAGUACACUUUUUCUAACGGGCUUCUAGAGCUAAAUUAGGCAGUUUAUACAGUGACAGGUCGGAUCCAAAUCGCAAGUUUUCCUCUAAUUCAAUUUCCAGUUCAAAUAUGUAUAACUACUUAAUUUAAAAUAAAACAUGCUCAAAAUUCAGAUUUCACAAUACUACAUAUAGUCCAUGAAUUUGAGCUAAAAUUAUUACCGAAAUCAAGAUCUAUACAUGUCGACCAAUAAGAACUUAGGAGUAAAAGCCGAUGUAACCCACCUAAAAUGCUAAUCCCUGGCAGCGAAGGACUCCCCCGGUGUAGAGCAACCUGCUGGAUCACCGGAAACCCGCCGAGUACAGAAAUCGCCUAAGCUCGAGCUCUACGCAACAAAUUCACCAAUUCAAUCUGAAAUUUCAGCGGUGAGGUACAACAUGGAUUCAACCAAGCUAGCCUUCACCAAAUCCAGCAAGUAAGCGGCUUCGUGGAUUCCUCUCGAAGUCCUGAAUCCAACAAGCCAGUCUCGUCGCAAUCCGAUGCUCCAACGUCGGAGAACGACCAAAAUACGGACAGUCGACGAAGAAAUCUGCAGCAGUGGCCACCCAGAGCCCGAAAAUGAGAAAUUGAAGUACUUGGAGGGAUGCCCACAGGUAAAAUACGACAACCAGUACUUGAACAGGCACGACAUCAAAGAUGGCGAAAAAAAACUCGCCCGACCUCCUCGCAGCAACACGACGACGGAAGUAUGCUCGAACGGCUCGCGGCGCUACGUCGCGACGAAUCCGAGCUCCCUCUUGCCUUCAACCGGAUGAGGGAGUUAGAGAGAUGGAUAAAAGCAGCUAGAAGACCUCUCUCACUCUCUCUACACGAAGCUAUAUAGAGGGGAGUGAGGGGUGAUACAAACGAGGGAUAAAAUUACACAUUUAGCCCUCUACCUACCCUCUUGUACCGGUACACGGGCUCCUGUACCGGUACAAGAGCCAACCCGAGAGCAGCUAAAUUCAGUGCGCGCAUCCUGUACCGGUACAGCAACCCCUUGUACCGGUACAACAAGCAGUCCUGCGAUGGUUGUACCGGUACAGCCUGCCCUUGUACCGGUACAGCGAGCAGAAAAUCCUGCUGUUUCGCAGAUUCUCUCGCAGAAUGCUGCCCUCGCGUCGCACGGAGUCCGUUUUGCGCCUAUUUGACGCCAACGCGACUCGGACCUGUCCCGACACUCUCCAGAGCUGUCGAUAAGCCUCCAGUCAAACACCAGGGAUCUCACAUUUAUAUUUUUAAAUUUUAAAUUUCAUAAUUAUUUUAAAUUUUAAAAUUUUAGAAUUUUAAAUUAUUUUUAAAAUUAAAAUAUCAAAUUUUAAAUUUUGUACAAUUUUGAAAUUUAAAAUUUUAAUUUUAAUUCAAAUUUAAAUUUAGACUUUAUAUUAUUUUAAAAUAAAAUUAAAUAAAAAUAUUAAUUUAUGCAAAUAUCAAAAAAAAUUUACUAAACAGCUUUUCAAAAUCACUUCAGAAAAAUCACUUUAUCUAAACUCCGCCAAACGCUCUACAGCUUUUAACCAAAAUCACUUCUCCAAUCCAAAAUCACUUUUUCAGAAAUCACAUUUUUAGAAGUUAGGUCAAACAGGUCCUAAGUGGUAUAGAUCAUGUUCAACGGUGCCGAUCGUCGAUUUAAAGGCUCUAUCAUUAAAAACAAAUGAGUGGCAACGGAGCCGGUUUGCUACCGAUAGCAUUCCAGCUCAACUCUAUAUAUAUAUAAAAGUAAAAGUACACAUUCAUUAGUGCUUUUAGAUUUCUAAUUCUUAGAUUUACCCCUUAACUAUUAGUUGUCUUUGAAUCAAAUACUAUUUUUCCUACCACCAUUAAACUCAAAUUGGCUACUAUCAUCCAAAUCCUACAACACCUCCAUCCAUGGGUUUCAAACCUAAGUAUAAACCCCUUGGUGCUUUUAGAAAGUAUUCUAGCUCAAUUCUAUAUAUAGAGAGAGAGAUAGAGAGUUUGGCUAUAAUGCUAUCAAUAGCACUAGACAUUUGGUGCUAUCAAGUUUUCUGCCGUUAGAUCCAUCUCUUUGAUCAUUUCCAUCCGUUAAUUAGAUCAUACUAUUCAACCAACCACCCAAUCAACCCUUAGGAACCAGUAUCAUCCUAACCACACAUCGCUUUAUUCAAGUGUUGAAAACUUAAUAGCACCAAUGACUUUGUGCUAUUAAUAGUACUAGUGUAGUUACCCGCGCGAGACGGCGGGCAGGUAUUAUAAGAGUAUUAGAUUUUUAAUCCAAUCCAACUCAUCUUAAACAGAAACUAUCAAAUAAUUCCAAAAAAUACUGUAAAAUAGGUUAAAAAUAGAUUAAAAAAAUGAAAAAUAAGAAGAGAGAGAAAAAAAAGAAAAGAUAGAGAAACUCUCACUUAAUAUUGGUCUUUAAGAGGGCGAGGCUUGCCAUUGCUUUUACUGCCGCCUCGAUCUCCACUGUCAUUGCCCACCCUUUCUUCCGCAGCCGUCUUAGUCUCUACUGCCAUCACAUUCACCGCCUCCGCCACCGCUAUGACCUGAAGCAUCGCCCACGCCUCAGGCUAAAUGAGAAGAGGAUAAUACAUCAAAAUUAGGAAUUUUAAAAAAAAGAAAAAAAAAAAGUAAAUAGAUCCCACACCUCUUACUAAAUGAAGGAGGUUGUUAUUUAUUAUAAGAAACAAAAUAGGGUUUCAUUUUCAUGACAUGCAUAGGAGAGAAUGAGGCUUUUGCGUUAGUUUUUAUGGUUUACGAUUAUAUUAGGGUUAAAAUGGGUGAAUACAUUAAUUAGACGUUACAUGCGAAGGGAAGGCAAAGGGUUGGGCCUUUUGGAUGGGUUUCUAGAUUUACGAUUUGGAUAGGAUUAAAUAAGGUGUUAUAUGAUAUUUAAUGUCACUAUUGCUUAGUGGUUCAACGAAUCUACAUCAUCCAUAUUAAACGGAAUGAAUUUAUUAGCAAUAAACUCAAGUAGCAGGUAAAUAGAGAGAGUUAAUUAUUUUGUUAAUUUGAUAUUUAGAUAGAGGAAGUGGUUUCAUUUAUUUAUUUAUUUAUUUAUGAGAAUGAAGGGAUGAAGGGUGACUUGCCACGUGGCAAGAAUUAUUGUGCUUUCAUUUAGGUUUAUAGAUAGAUUCUAGCCUAGUUUUAUAUAUAGAGAAAGAGAGAGAGAAUCCAGCUGCCAUUCUUUUAGGAGGAUAGGGACCUUCGUCCUAUUAAAUCGUUUUUCAUGAUAGAGAUUCCGAAUCGAUGAUCAGAAUCGUUGAAAUUGAUCUAGAGUAUUUGAAUUAUCUAGGAACUAAAUUUUAUAAAUUUUAAAAUUUAUUUACAUAUUGAUCAAAGGAUUGCAAAAUUAAUAGUUUUUGACGGCCUAUAUGAAUCGUUUGUUUGUUUAACGAUUUAGAGUAAUCUAAACAAGUUGAAUUUUUGAUAGAAAAUUCUUUAUACUAUUUGGAUAAUAUUUAAUAACUCCGAUUGUAAAUUGAAAAAGUCUAAUCACUAUUUUCAGAAGGUCAUUUGUUUUUGACCGUUCAUGUUUCGACUUUUUGGACUUAAUAAUGAUUUUUAAAAUUACAAAAUUCAGUUCUAAACAUUUCUAAUAGUGUAGAUCAAUUUCAAUGGUGCCGAUUAUCAAUUUGAAGUUUCGAUCAUCCAAAAUGACGUGGUAGGAUAAAGACUUCUAUCAUCUUAAGAAAAUAGUAGCCGAAUAUAUAUAUAUAAAGAGAGAGAGAGACAGAGCUAUGGUGCUUGUAAAACCAUUAAGCACUUGGUGCUUGUAAUUUUUUCACCAUUAGCCAGAUUUAUCCCGUUAAUCAUUUUCAUCCGUUAGAUUAUACUAUUCAACCAACCACCCACUCAACCCUAGGGGACCACUGCACACCUCUUUAUCCAAAGGCUACAAACCUACGAGCACCAAUGACUUUAAAAAUAUAAUAGCGCAAUUCUCUCUCUCUCUCUCUCUCUCUCUCUCUAAUAGAUAAUAUAUAGUAAUAUAUAUAUAGUAGGGCUACUGUGCUAUUAGGAGCACAGCAGCCCUUGUGCUCCUAUAUUUCUAACCACCCAUCAAGUUUGAUGGAUGAUUAGAAUAAAAGAGGAAAGAAAUAUUAGGGAGAAAUUGGAUGCUUCAAUUCUCUUCUCCUUCAAUUUCUAUUCAAUAUCUCUUCUUUCUUUCAUUCUAACCACCCAUCAAGGUGGUUAGAAAGUUAGAAGCACAAGGACUGCUGUGCUCCUAAUAGCACAGUAGUCCUACUCUCUCUCUCUCUCUCUCUCUCUCUCUCUCUCUCUCUCUCUCUCUCUCUCUAUAUAUAUAUAUAUAUAAUCACUAAACAAUGACUACUACUUGGUAUUAUGUGUGCAAAAUGUUGCUAUUUGAUUAUUCUUGUUUUGGAUCAGCUUGUGAGGUAUUCCCCAUUUGGAUUCUUUUAUGAUUUACUUCUAUAUAGUAUUGAGAUAGGCCAAAGGCCAAUUUGCAUAAAAAUUCACUAAUUUUGGGCUUUUGCAAAAGUAGGCCACCUUCUUCUUUUUUGCAGAUUCGGUCCGAAUUUUCAACAAACUGACCAAAAUACCCUUGUUACUUUUUCUCUCUCCUCUUUUUCUCUCCUCUUCUUUUCAAUCGUUUAUUUUUUUCUCUCGCUGAAGAAAGCAGCAGAGGCAAAGGCGGAGGUGGAAAUGGCCCGUCUCGCCUCUCACCCUCAUGCUCUCGCCCUCACCCUUGCCUUCACCCGCGCACCCCCCAUCUUCCUUGCCUCCGACCCCACCGAGGUCACGCCGCGACUCUUUUUUUUUUUUUUCCUCUCCGACUCUCCUCCACCGUCUCCGACAACGAUGCCUCUCUCGCCCUUCCCCGCCAUUCUUGUCCUUUCCUUCUCCUUCCUCCCCUACCGCCUCCGACGACGACGCAUUUCGCUGACGCCGACACCGUGGAUCGAGGUCGCUGCGGCGCUGCAGCCUCGGAGCGAGGGGUCCUUAGCGGCGUCGUCGCCGGCGCCGUGGCUGUUGGCAGAGAGGGGUCAUCAAAAAAAAUUAUAGAAGAAGCAAAAAAAAAAAAAAAAAAAAAAAAAAUAAAGAUAAAAAAUUAUAGAAAAAGAAAGAUGAAGAUGAAAUUGCACUAUUAAAAUAAAAUUGUACUGUUUUAAAAGAACGUUGCACUAUUAUGGACAUAAGUUAUACUACUUAAGAUGUAAACUACAGCUUUAAAAUAAAAAUUACACUCUUUACACGAAAAUUACACUCUUUGGGAGAUAAUUACCUGUUUCUCCUCUUAUUGCACUCUUUUAAAUGCAAACUACAUUCAUUAAGAUGAAAGUUACACUGUUUAAAAAAAAAUUUCACGCUUUGAGAGAUAUUUACACUGUUUCUUCUCUUGUUGCACUCUUUGAGAUGUAAACUGCACCCUUUUAAGAUAUAUUUAUACUGCUUCUCCUCUUGUUGAAUUGUUUCUCCUCUUGUUGCACUAUUUCUUCUCUUGUUAUACUAUUUUUUCUUUUAAACUGCACCCUUUAAGAGGAGAAAUAAUGUAACAAGAGAAGAAAUAGUGCAAUAAGAGGAGAAACAAUACAAUAAGAGAAGCAGUAUAAAUAUCUCUUAAACGGAUACAGUUUACAUCUCAAAGGAUGCAAGAAGAGGAGAAACAGUGUAAAUAUCUCUCAAAAAGUGCAACUUCCGUUUAAAGAGUGUAACUUUCAUCUUAAUGGAUGCAGUUUACAUCUAAAAUAGUGCAAUAAGAGAAAAAACAGUAUAAAUAUCUCUCAAAGAGUGUAAUUUUUGUUUAAAGAGUUUAAUUUUCAUUUUAAAGCUGCAGUUUAUAUAUUAAUAAUGUAACGUUCUUUUAAAACAGUGCAAUUUUAUUUUAACGGUGCAAUUUCAUCUUCAUCUUUCUUUUUCUAUAAUUUUUUAUCUUUAUUUUUUUUUUCUUGCUUCUUCUAUAUUUUUUUUUGUCACCUGUUUCUGGCAGCACCAGCGACAAUGCCGCUAAGAACCCCCUGCUCCGAGGCUGCAGUGCCGCAGCGACCUCCACAGUGUCGGCGUCGGCGAAGAUGCGUCGUCGUCGAAGGCGCCAGAGGAAGAGGGAAAGGGAGAGGACGAGAAGGGCGGGGAAGGGCAAGAGAGGUGUCGUCGUCGGAGAUGGUGGAAGACAGUCAGAGAGGAAAAAAAAAGAGUUGCAGCGCGGCCUCAGCGUGGUCGGAAGCGAGGAAGGUGUGAGGUGCGCGGGCGAGGGCGAGGGCGAGGGCGAGAGCGAGAGCAUGAAGGUGAGAGGCAAGGCGAGCAGUUUCCGCUUCCGCCUCUGCCUCCGCUGCCUCUUCAGCGAGAGAAAAAAAAAAUGAACGAGAGAAAAAAAAAAAAAAAGAGAGAAAAAGAGGAGAGAGAAAAAAUAAUAAGGAUAUUUUGGUCAGUUUGCUGAAAAUCCGAUUUGAAUAUGCAAAAUCGAAAAAAGUGGCCCACUUUUGCAAAAGCGCAAAACUAGUGGAUUUUUUAUGCAAAUUGGCCUAGGCCAAAACAUAUUGAAAUAUACUUUUUUGAUUUUUUUGUUGAAACUAUAGAAAAUAUAUAUUAUAACUAUACAACAAGAAUAAUUUUCUAUUGUACUUUCUCACCACACAUAACGUAAUUUUUUCGCAAUUUCAAACAAAUCUUUAGUCUUCCCAAAUACUGAAUUACAACAUCAAAACUAUGUAAUUCUAUUCAAGAAUUUAAGUAUCGUGGUAUGGAAUCGUACUGUGCAUGCCGGGUCGUACCGAUGUAUGCUGGUCACAAAAAAUAUAAGUAUACCAACACAUAAUGAUAUGAAAAUUUAUUUUCUUUAGCAACAAAAUUUUAUAAUUGCUUAUUCUGUAUUUUAAUCAAAUCUUUUAAAUUUUAUUGAUAAAUUAAUUACUAAUUUAAAGUAAAAAGUUUUGAACUGUGCCAUAAGUACGAGGGUUGUAUCGUGUCAAUAUCUUAUUGACACGGUACAAUACAGUAAAUAUGGCAUGUACCGAUGGAUACUUAAAUCCUUAAUUCUAUUUCAUCCAAACACCUUUCUAAGCUUUGUAGUUUUCUGUGGUAAUUGAUCCACAUGUCAAAAACAAAAACAAAAACAAAAAAAAAAAAAAAUCAGUAGUCCCUUUACUAUCUUCGUUCUUAUUAAUUUGCAAUUCAUUUCAGAACACUAAAAUUAAGUCUCAAUUUAACAUACACUAUAACAAAAGAGUUACUUUGUAGGAGUAAAAUGAUCAUCCCAUAUAUAUAGAAAUUAAGCCUAGAUAUACAACGCUCAAAGUACAUGGGUUAUUAAUAGGCCCUCGGUAACACUUGCCACGAAUGCGGAGAGAGUUUUUGGGCCAAGCACUUUUUCGGGCUGGAAAAGGUAGAAUGAGGCCACAAUAUUUCAUAUCAACUGUUCUUCAAAUCAUAUGCAUAUCCAUAUGCUUUAAAAAUAUAUAUAGGCAAAUGAAGAGUCGUUAUAUAUAUAUAUAUAUAUAUAUAUAUAUAUAUAUAUAUAUAUAGAUAGAGUGAGGCUACUAUACUAUCGGAAGCACAGAGCCUUCCGUGCUUCUAGCUCGUUUUCGAUGUUGCGACUUUCGAAUCGUCGAUCGGCUCCGUUAAACUUGAUCUAGAGUAUUUGAAGUACCUAGAAAAUAAAUUUUAUGAUUUUACGAUAUCAUUUGCCUAGUGAACAAAGGGGCUCAAAAUCAACGGCUGAAAAUAAAAAUCUUACAAAAUGUAAUAAUAUGACAUUAAAAUUUUAAAUCAAAGAUAUUGAUCUUGUUUUAUAUAGUAUAAAGAAUUUUCUAUCAAAAUUUCACGUGAUUUGAAUAUUUCUACACCGUUAAACUUGCAAACGGCUCACUACGGCCAUUGAAAUUUGUUGAUUUUGAGCGAUCGUAGGCAAAUGAUAUUCGAAAAAUAAUAAAAUCUUAUUUCUAAUGGUACCGCAAUAAUCUAUUGAUCAUAUUAAUCGAGCCGAUCGCAAUUCCGCAGAAGUCACAACAUGAAGAAGAGCUGAAGACAGAAGGCUCCGUGCUUCAUAGCAUAGUAGCCUCACUCUAUAUAUAUAUAUAUAUAUAUAUAUAUAUAUAUAUAUAUAUCAUACAACAGAAUUAGGUUAUAGGGACACAUAUUUGGGACACUUUUAAGUAAGUGUCCCAUUUAUACUAAAACUUAAAAACACGUCUACUAAUGCCUAAAUAUAAAGCCCAAUCCAACCAAAAAUAAAAAAUUACUCUACUCAACCCACCACAUCCAGUCCAUUUGGUCCGAUUACAAACAGAAAAGAAAAAAAAGAAAAAUCAAUUACCAUCUUUUCUUCUCUCUUCACUCAAUCCACUGAAAUUCUAGACGAAUAGUCUUUACUGUCGUCCUCCUCCGCCACCGCAGCCAACGAGAUAGAGUUUCGACUGUUGCUAAAUGCUUAAAUAAGUAUUGGUAAAUUAGCAUGAUUCUUUUAGGUUAUAGCGACACUUUUUAACUGUCACUAUAUACCUAGCGACCCCACAUAUAGAAAUACUUUUUAAAAGUGUCGAUAAUUUUAGCUAGCAGCACUUUUUUGAUAUGUACCUACAGUUAAAAGUGUCGCUAUAGACCAUUUUUGUUGUAUAUAUAUAUAUAUAUAUAUAUAUAUAUAAAGAGAGAGAGAGUNNNNNNNNNNNAUGUUUAAAAUAAUAUUCUUGAAAAUAAAUCCUACAAACUUUCUUUGCAAAGGUUUGAAAGAGUACUAUAUCGUUUACGACUGUGAACUUUUUUCAUGGCGGAUACUUGCAAUUCUAAAAAUUAAAAGACUUCGAAAUUAUAUAGUCCGAUAUAGAGUAACUGUGCACUAUAUAUAUAUAUAUUAUAUAUAUAUAUAUAUAUAUAUAUAUAUAUGCCUUUCGUGAAUUGCAGCAACUAGACAAUUUCAAAGUUGCAUCUUAGCUUAUUAGAAAAAAAAAAAAAAAUUGUAAAUUUCACGAACAAGAAUAUGCUACAACAUCACACAUAUACAUAUUUCUUAAAAGUAAUAAAUUAAUUAAUUGUAUACGUGCCUUUAAUUUCGAAAUAAUUGCUACUUUUUAUCAGAUGAUCAUGAAGCUCAAAAAUCCUGGCUCCAUGAAGCUCUUCUAACGGUCAAAAAGGUCAAACUCAACACUAAGCUCUAUGAGCCACGUGACAAUGCGACUGCCAAUGAAUUAAUGACACGUGGCACCUAGCUGGUUGACUUGGUCAAGGUACAAUCCGAGGUCAUGGCAUUCCACCAGGUUGGCCGACCCCCGGCCGCCGCCGCCGCCUCCUCGCAGCCGCAGCUCCCGUCCGACGUCGGCGUACGCCCACCCCAGUGCCGUCGUCGCCCUCCGCCACCACCUGCCGCCGCCGUCGUCCUCCGAUUCCACCACGAAGCCCGGCACUUUGGUCACGACAUCGCCGGCGUUCACUAUCCGCAGCACCUUGCACCCACUCCCCUCCACCCUCCGCCGGAACCCCUCGUUCCCGAUCCGCGGUCCGCCGAACGAUAUCGCCGUCACCAUCGCCUUGCGGUCACUGCUGCCCCGGCAAAAAGUGUCGGCAAUGUCGUGCGCAGCGAGCACCGCGAGUGCGGCGCCGAGGCUGUGCCCGGUCACCGUGAAGCUCAACGGGUACGCAUCCGCUGUCGCAGUCGCCGCCGCCGCGUCGACGAUCCGUCCCACCUCCUCGCGCACCUGCGCCCGCAGGCUGCCAUGCGGAGCGACUGCGGUCGUGAAGAGGUUCCAGAAACCGCGCUCCACCAUCGGCUCCGACACAUUGUCGGAAGUGCAGCCAUCCAAGCCAGUGAGAGAAGUUUGGGAGUUCUCGAUCCACUCAAGGAAGGUGGCGGUGCCGCGGAGCGCGAUAACGACGUCGCGGCGGCCGAGCCGGGCGAUUUCGGCCUCGUCCCUGCAGGCCGCGAUGUACCCGAUCCAGCUCGACCGCCGCGAGAGCGCCGAGGGGGCUCCGGCAUCGGCUAUCCAUCGAGGAACUGCUGCGGCAGUCGUGGCGUGGAGGUGGCGCGUGACGCGGUAGCCGGUGCGGGACAGGCCUGCGCGGCGGAGGAGGGAGUGCUUGGGGAAGCGGCAGGCGGCGUAGGACGGGGAGCAGGGGUCGGUGUCGAAGGCGGAGUAGGCGGCACGGACAAAUUCGCCGUAGCGGAGGAUCUCACGGCGGAGGGUGUCGUCGAGCGGGUCGAGGAGGCGGGCCCAGUCGUCGGCGCCUUGGUACUCCGCCCACCGCCUCCCGAUCCUCGCGGUGGAGCGGCCGCGGAGUGUCGACGGACCCGAAGGGGAGGAGGAACACUUGAUCAGUGGAGAUGAGCAAUGGUGAGAUGAUAGAGAAGUUGGUGAGGACCAACCUCUCCAUACACAAAGCUUCAUCUUUUAUUCUACUUAAUUAGAUUCUAUUUUGUACUUGAAACAAUAUGUUGUACACUUUGUAGAAGAUGAUGUGUGUGUAUAGAUAUAUAUAGCUUGUGCAUGUGCAUGUGCAUGAUACGUGGGGGGGCAAAAAUAUGGGUGCAUGGGGAGGGUUCGACGCGCCGAAAAGGUAAAAAAAGAGUGGCUUAGAGGAUCCAAUUGAUGCGAUGCAAUAACAAAAUAACUUUUUGGGAGGGACCCUCUUUAAUUUCCAACAUUUUUGUGCCCAAGAAGUAUGAUUAGAAGAAUAAUAGAGUUGAGCACAUGUGCUUUUAAAAACAUAGUAAGUAGUAUUUGCGCUUAUGAUUUUUUAAUUAGCUGUUUGAUCACUUCAAGAUCCGUAUAAAAAUAUUAAUGAUAUGUCAUUUUAUUAGGAUUAUAUAGACUUAAGGUGAUAAUUGGUGGUUAAAAAACUAUAAACACGUUGAGCUCUCCUGCUUUUAAAAACAAAGGAGCUUAACUCUAGAAGGAUAUACAUUUUUUGUUACUAAUAAACAGCAAAAAUAAUAAAUAAAAGUUUAUUGCAAGGAGCUGCACCUAAUAAAUACCCUUUCUAAAAGGAGGAAUGUUACAUAUAUAUUAAAAAAAUGAGUAUAAAUUUUAUAUUUCACCUAUUAGGAGAUUUAGAUAUCUCUUCUAAAUUUAUAAUAUUAAAGAAAGAGAUUAAUAAUAUUAGCGUGAAUAAAGUAAUCCUUCGAUAGGAGGAUAGGCUUUUAAUAUUAAAAAAUUGAUAAGAUCAGUGUGAAUAAAGUGAUUCUUAAAUAAGAGGUGUAAAAUUUACGCUCAAAUUUUGCUUGCAACAGUUAUGUCGUGAUAACAAUAUCCCAUUGAAGAGUUUUAUGUUGCGCAAAAUGCAAAAUCAAAAUUAUUUUAAAUAUUAUUUUAAUGUGAAAUUAUAAUAUUGUCUUAUUAUUAGGCCUUUCACUAUCUCCUAUAGUACAAUAGGAUUGAUUUAAUAUAUACCUUACAUAGUAUAAUUGUUAUAAAGAAUGUUUUUUCCUCUGUAUUAUGCACUUCAUAUUCAAUAGCAAUUAUGAUAAAUAUUUAUUCAAAUAAUGGUGAAGAAAAAACUUGUUCUUGUUGAGAGUUCACAUAUGAAUUACUCCAUGUCGGAUAAUUAUAAGAGAGUAAAAGAGCUAAUACAUGCUAGUAUGCUCAGCUUAAGAGGCUUAGGUUUUCAGAUUGAAUGUGUUUCAUUAGAUAUAUCACGUUCUUUGACUCGUGUGGGGAUGAGCUUGGCCUAGAACUUCCUAACAAUUCUGGUACGUUUUACGUUAGAUAAUAAGAAAAAAAAAUUGCAUCUAAGAUAAUACUUUAUUUUCAAAGUUUUUCAAAAGAUAAUUUUACUUUUUAAGAGUUUGUUUCAGAUAAAAGAGUGCACUGAAAAGCUAUUCCCUAAACUUUCUAUCAUGACCGUACGUAUAUCUUACUUUUCUGAUGAUUCUAUUAUAUCCAGAUAAAUAAUCUAAAAAUAAUGAUCUAAGAAGUUAGAAAUUCAAUUUAAAGUGAAACUCAAGGUCAGGAUAGACCUCAAUUUAAAUUCAAAUAAAUAUUUUGCAUAACUAUUGUGAAAAGAAGCACCCACGGAGCUACGAUUUGUGACAUUCCGAGGCUUGAGAUAGACCCACAUUGGAUAGCUAUGGCUAGGUGUGAAGUAUAUAAACUUGAAUGAGCUAAACACAAUAACUGAGCUAAAGUAUUUUGGGCUGGUGGUUUGGACCUGAGUUAUUAUUGCUAGUAGACAGAAUCAUUAUAUUUUGUGUCAAAACUGAAUAUUAGAUGAAGGUCGAGUCGUUGCAUGAUCAUCCAACACACUUCAGUUUCUAUAACCUAAAUUGGAAAAAAGGAAAAAAAAAAAAAAAAAAAAAAAAAAAACAUGAUUGAAAAUAUCUAAGAUAGAUAAAAAUAGAGUUGAUGUUUUGAGGAGAAAGAAAAUGAGGACACUUUACCUCACAAUCAAUUAAUUAUGGAAUGACACCAAAGAGUGUGGCUACAUCUGCAUCUGACCAUGGAUAGUGGGUGCAUAAAAGAGUGUUGGUUUAUAGCUUUAUUGAAGUAGAAAUUAUUCAAUAUAUAAUUAAGCCUUUUAAAGUGUGGUAAUGCAUAUUUGAAAUUACUAAAUUUAGAUUUAAACUUAGGGUUUUAUGAUGUCUAUUUUUGAGUUUUGUAGACCAUAGGUAUUACAAAUAUAAACCCAUUUGAUAUGACUAUCUAAUCUUUAAAAGUUUUAAUUUUAUUGUGUAAAUAUUUUUAUUUAUUUGAUUUAAGUCAUUUUAUGAUUGUUUUUUCACGUUAUAAUUUGACUGUGUUGUAGAGUAUGUCAUACGGUUCAGAUGACUACUUUUCAAUUAAAACAUACAAUGCAUGCAAAUAUCUACCUAAAAUAUCACCAAAUGGUUCAAAUCAAAAUAAUUGAAAGCUUUAUAAAAUUGAAUAGCUUAAAGUUUAGGUGGUCAUUGUCAGAAUAGUACAUAAGUUAAGUAAGUUUUAUGUAGGGCUAUUAACGAGCUGAACACGAGCUGACUCGUUUAAAAAAUCAAGCUGAAAAAUUCAGCUCACGUUCGGCUUGUUUAGUAAUGGCUUGUUUAUUAAGCGAACAGUAAGUUAAAUUGUCAACUCUAUUACUUGAUAAAAUAUUGAAAAAAAAAAAAUUAGAAUUAAUCUUAAUCUAAUAAUUAAAAUUCACAAAAUAUAAAGCCUUUUAUGAUCUAAAUAGUAAAACGGUAUUGAUGUAAAGGCUAGUAGCAAUUAAAAGGAUUGAUUUGAAUACGAAAAAGUUAGAGGUAACAAUGGAUUAAUACUUCUAGAAGUAUUCUACCUCACCCCUAUAUAUAUAUAUAUAAAAUUAGGCUGGAAUACUAUUAAUAGUAAAACACUAUUUUUGCUAUCAAGUUUUUAAUCCUUGAAUGAAAAAUUAUAGGGUCGGGAUGAUAUUAGUCGGUUAGAGUUGAGUGGUCCCCCUAGGGUUGCGUGGUCCCCACUGGGUUAUAGUAUUUAAUCCAAUGGUUAGAAAUAAUAAAAAGAGUUGAUCCAAAGGCUAAAAAACUGGUAGCAACAAUGGAAUUUUGCUACUAAUAGUAGUCCAAUCCAACUCUCUCUCUCUCUCUCUCUCUCUCUCUCUCUCUCUCUCUCUCUCUCUCUCUCUCUCUCUCUCUCUCUCUCUAUAUAUAUAUAUAUAUAUAUAUUCGAGCAAUAUUGAACCGAACACGAAUGAGCUGGCUGCAGCUCGUAUUCGGCUUGUUUAUUAAACAAAUGAUCAUUCUCGAGCUCAUUUAAAGUUGAACACGAGCUGACUCGCGAACAACGAACUGGAUUGUCAAACUUUAGGAAUGGGUGCCCUCCGGGCAGGCAUCUUUAGAGGGAAAAAAGCAAUAUCGAGCCGAACACGAACAAGUGAGCUGACUCCAGUUCGUGUUCGGCGCUUUGUUAUUAAACAAACGAUUAAUCAUAAGCUUGUUUCAAGUCGAAUACGAGCUGACUCGCGAACAGUGAGCUGGAUUGUCGAACUCUAGGAAUGGGUGCCCUACAGGCAGGCAACUUUAGAAGGAAAAAAAAAAAAAAAAAAACGCAUGAUUUUGACACAAGGUACCAGGUGCCUGCUCGUGCUAAAUGGACCCUUGUACACUUGCGGCAGGAGCUUUUGGGCGAAGCAGUUUUGGGGAUGACAAAUUUGGAAUUGGGCCACAUUUAACAUCAACUGUUCUCGCAAAUCACACGUGUCCCAAAUGGAACAAGUUUGGUGAGUUUCACGUGUGAAAAUCCUUUUACUUCGCACAGCUAAAGCUAGUAGGAAAGGGUCCUACUUAUUCUUAACUCCAUGUUUACUUGUUUGGUUAUAUUGUAGUUAUUAUAAUUAUAUCUGCAUACAAAUUUAAUUCUGAUGUUUAGUUUAUGCAUUUAAAUUUAGUUGGAAUUGCGUGAGAAGGCCCAACUGCAGAUCUUAGAAUUAUGUCCAAAUUUGUCGCAUUUUCAACUACAACCACUUGGAAUGAGUAAUCAUAAACAAAAAAACAAACGUAUCUUCUAAAUCUUCAUAUAUACAUAUAUAUAUAUAUAUAUAUAUAUAUAUAUAUAAAAUAAUAAAAUUUUAAAAAUAUACUUUUUCAUUGCAUGAAAUCAAAGAAAUUAUUUAUAAUUGCACUGUUUUCUACUACAUUAACCAAAUUUAGAUAUAUGUAAUUAUAUCUACUACAUUUUUAACUACAGUUCUAAUUAUAUCGGGCCAAAUGGGCCCCAAUAUAUUGUGAGAAAGUGUGAUGAAUUGUUUUUAUAAAUAACAACAUGUCAUGUCGAUCGUAACGAUUUGAUUAGAAUACAAUUAAUAUUUGCAGUUUCAUCGAAAAAUGAAAAAACAUCUCGAUCUUUAUAUAAUUUCACUGUACUUUAUUGAUGCCAAUAGCUUUAGCUAAUCGGCUUUCAAUAUUAUACAGACCUUUGAUAAAGUUUAGCUUUUCAGAAGCUCUCCGAUGAUAGUGAAAAUUUGCGUCAAAAAUUUUGAAGAUUCCUACCACCAUUUUAUAGCAAUUGAAUUGAUUUCUAAAGCGCUCAACUAUUUUUCUUGGUAAAAAUAUGCUAAACUAAUAUCAACUUUUGGGCUAAUAUAAAAUUGACUAUUCACGAUCUUGUUUGGCUUUGCUGUUAUUUUUUAAUUUUUUUUAACAUAAUUAUAUGUAGCUAGCUAGAUAUGCCAGCAAACAGGACUCCUACAUAUUUUCUCCCAACACUUCCACAUAGAAUUCCUGCUUGAAAAAAAAUUGAAGAGAUAACAACAAUAUGGAACAAAUUAAGACUAGUAUUUGCAAAUUUUGAAUUCACUAUCUUACCUUUCAAUUCUUCUAAUUUGAGUUUUUUUUAUGGCUCUAAAAUAUUUUGCAUAUACCUCACCCAUUAGUCCAUCCACGCACUCUAUAUUUAUUUGUCAUUCCUCAUAUUUGAUAAGUUCAAUCUCUGCAUGUCAAUAAAUUAUAGUUUUUUUCGAUUUAAAACUGGAUGGUUAGUGUUAGGAAUCCAAAUGAAUCUGGUUUGGCGGAGCUUCUGUCCCAAUCUACUCCAAAAGGGAAAAUAUUUGAAAGAUAAUAGUAAAUUUAGGCAGUAAAUGAAGUCUUUUUUAUGAUCUGCGGAGGAUUCGGAGAGAAAGAUGAUGAAAAAUUAAUUCGCUUCAUAAUAUGCCCUGAAUAAAGAUUUAAAUUGUAGAAUUUUUUUUUCGAAUAUUAUUUGAGUUUUAAAUAUUAGUUAUUCCUAAUAUACAUAUAAUGUGAAAAAUAGUUGCUUUUAAUUAAACUAAUAAAAUUUCAUUAUUUUACAUUUUAUUUAAUUGAACUAAUAAAAUUUAAUUACAUUCAAUUCAAAUUUGUAUAAAAAAUAGAAAGAAAAAAAAAAUUUGUGGGGGCGCAUUCAGGGUGACAGGCCUUAAGUGAGUUUUUAGGCAAAGCAGAUUAUGAAAGAAAUAUUUACUCCCAUACAGGGGUAGGACAACCAUACUUGGUUGAGGAUCUUCUUAAUGAGUUCUUAUUAACACAGUUUGGCGAGCCGUAUAAUUCAUAGCACCUGUGAAUUUUAAAGGUCUAUUUCAAUAUAUCUUGAAGGUUUUUACUGAAUCUUAACAUCAUAUUGAAUUUUCGAUUCUGCUAUAGGAAGGAUCUAUCGACACAAUUUUUUGUGUAGUGCUUUUUUAACAGCACUUCUUAAACAACACUUCAUCAAAUAGUACUGUAUCCUACAGUAUGGCCGAUAAAGCCCUGAGUAUCCAAAAACACCUUCACAACUCAAAGAAACCCAAGAAAUCAUUUGAACGGCUGUUAACAUUUAAAAGCUAGAAAGAAACGUUUUGUACAGGGAACAGAAAUUUCUACAACUCUUAUGCAGUUUCAGAAAAGAGAAGAGAGAAGAGAUAAGACGAUGAUCGAGAAGGGCAGAGUUACAGUGCUGAAGCUAAUCUUCCUCGAAGUAUUUCUCCUCGGCGUCAUAGUUUGCUUCCCUGACCCAAUGAUCGUCCAGUCGUUCAUCGUUGUCGAUCUGGGAAUAGUCGAAAUGCUCCGUGUCUUCUCCUGCCAGGAACUUCUGCUGCAUUAUCAGCGUGAACUGCUCCAGCUGAUCCUGCAUCUCUUCUCCAGAUAAUGUCUGCUGGAAGUCCUCCGUAGCCUCACCCUCGGCGCCACCGGUGUUUGAUUCCCGCCCCUCGUCAAGAGGCAUCUGUACACAGCAAGCAGCACAAAGUUUUCUUUGUUAAGAAACAUUUCUACGUAUUCGCCAGCCAAAAAGCAUCAACGAACAAGUCGCCGUGCUAAUCCGAAAAUACCAAACAGAAGCUUUGAAUAUAGCCGGAGAGGCAAGCACAGUAAAAAAUAGCCCAUGCCCACAAUGAAUGCGCGUCGAACUAUAAUUGACAUUUAUAAAUCAGUAAGCAAAAUAGACUCAAAAGGAUCUUUAAAAGAAAAUUGAGAAGAAUGGCUGACAGCUUACAGAGUCGUCCUAUCUACAAUAUUUGACAAAAAUAAAUUGCUGGCUGCUAUUUACAAAGACGAAUUGCCAAUUGCUACCCAAAACAGGUAACAUGGCUACGCAGCUUAAGUUCAAAAUCCCAACACAUCCAGGCGAUCCUCUACAAUUACACAUUAACAACUAAUUCUGAAUAAACAGGAGCCUAUAAACAUGUAGCCCAAACCUCAGAAACUAUUGCCGUCGCACAUCUGCUGCUCAUAGUCAUUUUGUAGUUACAAAGGAAUCUUUAAUCACCUUCACUAUUUCCUGAUGUGGAACUAUCUUACUAUCCUUUCUCUUCAACCAGUUAAAUAUGAAUGAUGCUCCGCCCGUUUCAUGACAAACAGUUUGAUUGCUCUUCUCUAACUAAGAUUACCGUAAAGAAAUACUAAAUUUGAUCUGCAAGCACUCAUAAUUAUUGGAUGCAAAUCACUUAUUUUCCUUAAGAUAAACCAUUUUAAUCUAUAACGACGUGGCCAGGAGCACAGAAUAUGGUGAGACAUGUCAUGCAAUAUCAACAUGACAUUCCUUGAAUUAAAUAGGCAUGUGCAAGGUAAACGAACACAUAUAAUAUGCAAACGACGCAAAAUCCGGACACUAUAUAGACAAUAUUUCUCAAAUUUAUAAAUAUAUUAUUGUGGGCUUGAUGAUAAUCACUACUCUGUUCUUCAACAAUUUAGGUAUCAUCAAAACAGAUGUUUGAACAAAAAAGGAAAAUCACAAGGAUUUACAUGGAGAGAAAAAUCCGAAAGGCACACGCUGUACUAUGGUUUUUUUUGGCAAUGUUAACUCUAGUCAUGCAUCAAAAGGACAAGAUGCAUGGAAGAGUCGCUAUACUUUCAUGAUACAGUGAUUAGGACCUCUAACUUUUUUACUUUGAAUAAUUCAGUCCUCAAGAUGAAUUAAAAAUAUACAAAUUUGGGACAUGGAUUGACUACAUGGGAAAGUUUGGUGACUGAAAUGCCUAACUGUAAAGUUUAGGAACUAAGUCGCUAUAUUCACAAAAGUACAUGGACUAUCCAUAUCACUAUAGUCACAAAUGUACAGAGACUAUCUAUAUAUUUUAACCCUCCAUUAAAUAUGACAGAUCAUAAUUCACUAUAAUCCUUGAUAGAUAUAAACAUAUGACCUGCUAUCAUUAACUGAAAGGUAAAAAUAGUACGACAAAGAAACGUCCUCAGAUUCAUGACAACCAAAAUUUGGAUGUCUUUAUUCCAUUAAACAUAUUAUGUAUACAAGAUGCUAUCAUUGUCUUAAUAAAAGAAAUGGUUCCCACAAAGUUCUUUUGAGGAAGAGAGACACACCAAACCAUGAAUGUUUCUAAGCUAAAUUUACAUUUUUUAUUAUGUCCUGACAUCGAGUACUGGAAAGACUCAAAGAAGCAACACAAAAUUUCUUGGUUGGAGUUAUAUGUCAUCAAAUAUGAUCUAAGUAUUUCUACAGGCAAAACUAACAGAUUUAGGAUGCCCUUUCCCUUUGCAUCAAGCCAUCAACUCGACAAAAAUAAUGUUUAAAUUGAACAACCUAGGGAUUUCCAUCUGAUAAUCAGUUCGCCAUUCUUGAUUUAGGCAUUAAAUGCUUUUUACCAAACUUGUUUCAAUUAAUUUAUAUCCUUUAGAACUUGGACAAACUCCUCCUAUCUGCUUGAAUAGUACGAUUCUUCGUUUCUAGGCUAAAUUACAAAAAACACACCUGCAGUUUCUUCUCUUUCUUCAUUUGCCAAACUGCAUCUUAAAUUGCAUCUACUUUAGCCUUGCACUCACUCUCAUUCAAAAUAGAUUGAAAAUAUUGGGAUAACUGAUAAAUUAAAUGCAAAACAUUGCAAGCAUGAGUUGGGAUAUAACAAGGAUUCUAUAUAUGGACAGUUAUCAACCUUCAGACCUAAAAUAAAUCUAGAAUUAAAAAAUAAAAGGAAAAAGAUCUACUUCUCUACAACAGCAAGAAACAAAUUGGACAACCAUUUUACAGAUUUAAGAUGGUUCCGAGCAGACCAAUAUAUUCAGAAGACUGGGACUCACCGCAGUAAAAGUGUUUGACUACUAUUUUGCAAGACUUCUCUGUAUCAUCUCCAAGCUCAAGGGAUUAGCUCCCCACCACACUCAUGAUCAUUCUGUCCACAUUAUUCCAGGUUCCGCUAACAGUGAAUGUGAGGUUCAAGUCCAACUCUGGGUACCAUACUAUACACGCACAAGAUGGUUUUUUGGACACAUAAUAGUCACCAUGGGCUUCUUGUCAUGCAUUUUGGCUUGACUAAUAAUCUAUCGCCUUCUCACUUUGGUGAACACUGUUUCUACACUUUUCCUCAAACACUUACAUUAAUAAUCUUGGACCGCCUUGUCUACAACUAAUUUUAGGAGGACCAAAUGGCACAUUUGCAUGCGACAUACAGAGACAACGAAGUUUCAGAGGGAAUAUUUGGCCCACAUUUCAAUUUGAUUUGAAUUGCUCCUCAUUACAGAAUGUCAUAUUUCCUAAUUGCAAAGGAACUUUGACAAGAACAAUUAAUAUUGACAAGAACCAUUAAUUGUGAGGGCUAUGAAAGCACACUUUCAUCUUCUUUCCUAGUCUCUUUAGUUUUCUUUGAUUGGUUCAGAAUACAAUUUGGAAUUCACAAUCUUUUUUCGUAUUUAACAAAGGACUUUAGUAUUUCUUUUUUUAAUAUGUGAGGCUACAUUCGACCUUGAUCCCGUAAAUUCUCCUUAAGUUGUGCAUAGAAAUAACUAACAUAAUUUUGUUUCUACUAUUAGCUAUUUACAAAUCACAAGAUGCUUAUUAGUUCUACUAAUUUUUACCAUACCUCAUUAGCUGGACAGAUGAUAAAUUAGCAACAAAAGAGAGAACACAGGAUAACACUACAGCAAAAUGGUUAUGCAACCAAAAUAGCAAGUCCUAUGCUAACUAUUUUAACAGUCCUCCUGCAAUUUUAGAAGAUCAUAUAGAUCCUACAAUUAUCAGUGUGUUUUUCUUUUAAAAGAAGCCAUCUCCCCAAAAUUAACUAGAUAAACAUUAGUUAAUAUGGGUGCGUUUGGAUUGACGAAUCGCUAUAACUAACAUACUAAAGCGCAAUGGUGUUGUUUUGACGUAACUCGUACAGUCUAAAAGUUGAAUUCAAUCACUUCUUCUAUUUGUUUUGGUGUAACUUGAUGUUGAUGAAUUUAGUUUUUUGAGUUACAUUGUUUGUUUUGAUGUAUGUAAGUGGGUCUCAUUAUCUCCUAAAUAUAGUGAUAAAUUUAUCCCUAUAAAAUCCAACCUAUUAAAUAAUUAAAUUCCUCAUUAUUGUUUGGAAAUAAUCUUAAACCAUUGUAAAAAAAAAAAAAAAAAAAAAAAAAAACUCUAACCUGUUCUAAAGGAAAUAGAGUAUCGGUUUUAAUAUUUAAUAAAUUUUUUGGAGAAACUUGAGUGUGGUGGAACUUGAGUUCGGUACUCUAGAGAGAGAAGUCAAGACUCAAGAGUAGGUGAAGUGGAGGUUUAACGUAACUUGAAUUAUAUAUAUUUUUUUUUAUUUACAACAAAACAAACACCGGAAGUGAUGGAACUUGAGUUCCACCCCUCCACUUACACCAAACUAAACAGCCCCUAUACGUAUAAUUGGAGUUUGAGUUUGUUCCGCUCAGAAAAACCGUCACUAAGUGGCUAAGACGAUUCCUCCGUGAUGUUCUAAUUAGUAAACAUCCUUUACCUCUUAUAAAAAUCUUUUGAGCUAAGCAUAAAUGACCGCAUAAUUGUAAGACAUAAAAACAUAAGAGAGCUAAUCAAAGAAAGCAUAAUAUACUAAUAUCAUAUUAAAUCUUGUAGCAAUUUUGUUGAUUAAUCAAUCGAAAGUCGGUGCAGUUGCCUUAAAAUCAUCAGGGUCAAUAGGGCUAAGCCCACACUCCUAAGUCAAAAGUUUUAAAUGCUAAAUCAGUUGAAGUUAAAAGGAUGACUAGUUCUUGAGCUGAGCCCUUCUUUCUCAUCAAUCCUAUAGUAAUGGUGCAUGCUGCCUAAAAGAUAAAGAAUUAGUAAGAUUUGAACUCUUAAAAAUUAGGAGACCCAUAAAAGCAAGGUUCUGUACUUCUGUACUACUUGGCGAUGCCAUUAGCAGGUCAUAAUGAAUGCGUCAGGCAUGGACAUGAAUAUUGAGUUGCGUCCCAAAUCCGAACAUGAUGAAUUCAUGCAAACUUCUCGCUAAGUUCAUUUUUAGUCCGACAAAAUGGUCGGUGAUUUUAAACAAUCGAAUUCCCGAAUCGUGUGUUCUUUGAUUCUCAACAAGGUAAUUCCCUUUUAUCUAAAAAUCUAGACAUACAAAUUUUGUCCAAUAGAAUAACAUAAUAACUUCAAAAAUGGUAUGCUUGUGUAGGCUUAAGAAAUAGUACCUUUGCUGCUUCUUCCUCUUCCUCUUCCUCCUCCUCCUCUUCUUCUUCCUCCUCCUCCUCUUCUUCCUCCUCUUCCCUUGCGCACCCACCGACCCACUCUCUCCUAUCGACGCCUCGCCUCUGCUGCUCGCCUCUGAUCUUCUCGACGAUCGCCGCCUCCUCGCAGCGCCGCAGCAGCGUCUCCAACCACCGCUCACCGGGCCGGGACAUCGCCCGCCCCGCGGGGUCCUGGAACUGCCCCAGAUACUCAUGGUGGAGGUACGGCUCCCGCUCCCGCAUCGCCUCCUCGGAGAAGUACUCCCCACCGCGCACCAGCCGCUCCAUGUACGCCCUCCGCCGGUUCUUCACCGUCGCCAGCCGCGCCCGCGUCUCCUGGACCGUAGGCGUCUCCCGCACCCGCCGAAGCCGCGCGAGGUGCCACGCCACCUCGUAGUCGUUGCCGAGGGCGUCGAACGCGUCGAGCUCCUCGGCCGUGAGCUCGGAGCCGUAGCGCUCUGAUCGAGAAGAGGAGAGGUUUCGAUUUAGAGAGUUAGGGUUAGGGUUAGCGUUAGGGUUAGGGUUAGGGGUUGGGAGCGGGGAGCGUACCGAGGAAGAGAGGGGGGUCGCGGGAGAGGAGGUGGAGGAGGGCGGAGUGGCGGAGGGAGGAGGGGUCGGGGGCGCCGCCGCGGUGGAUGGCGCCUGGGAAGUAGAGGCCCUGGAUGGCAGACAGCCGCGCCGCGAUGCCCUCCAUCGCCGACCGCUCCAUGGUUUGCUGGCCUGGCUGCGCCGCUGGCACUUCUGGACGCGCCGUUCAGGGCAGACUGCUAAUAUUUACAAUUCAAUUAAUUAAUAUUAUUAUUUAUCCAGCUACUGCACUCUUAUUAUGAUUAUUAUAUAAUAUAUACUUCUUUUUAUACUUAUAAAUUUUUAAAAUAUUUUAUUUUUAUAAUUAUUUUUAUUUUACUAUUCCACAAAUCAUCUGCUCAAUUUGUAAAAUCGCUAUUAUUCUAACUGUAUAUUUUUUUAUUCAACGGUCGAAAACUUAUGAUUACUAGCGCAGUAACCCGCGCGAUGCUGCGGAAAAAUAUUAUUAUAAUAAAUUUUUAUCAUAUCUACUGAAUUUUGUGUUUUAGAGCGUAAACUAUUUUUUCAUCUUUCAAAAUACCAAAUUUUGCUCAUUUUUCGACUUAUUUUUGUAAUAUUCAACAUAUAACUUUGAUUUUUUUACUGCAAAUUUUGCUAGUUUUUUCCCUCCAUAAUUAUACUGUUUGAUUUUAUUCUUCCUCUGAUUCUAAUUUUAAAACUUAUUCUCUGUAAAUAAGUAAAAACAUAUACAUUAAAUUUGAAAAUCUUAUCAAAACGUAACUGAAAGCAUAAAAAUAAUAUUAAAAUAAUUAAAAAGUAAGUAAAAGUAUAAAAAAAUUUAAAUAAAUGAAAGAUAGUAAAAAAAAUAUUUGGAAUACAUAAGAAGAAAAGAAUGAAGUAGAAUGAAUAGUAAAAAUAAUAAGAAAAGUAAGCAUAAUAAUAGCUGAUUAUACUAAAAAAGUACUGUAACAGUAAUAGCAAAUCAGAAAUAACAAAGUAAAAUAAUAAUAUUUUUUUGCAAUCCAGAGUUAUAGUAGAAAAAAAUAAUAAUAGUAGAAGAUUAAGUGCAGCGGUACAAAAAAUUAAUUAGAAUACAUAUGUAGAACUUAAUAGUAAAAAAAUAAUUUGGAAAAAAAAAAACAAAAGAGCUAUAAGAAAAAAUAAAGCGAGAAAAAAUAGAUGAAGAUACAACAAAAGAAUCACUUAAUAAAAAGAAGAGUUACAGAACCUAACCAGCAAAGAUUUUAAAAAAAUAAAAUAGCUAAGAACCAGAAAAAGCUACAAAAUUAAUAUAAAAAGAAAAAUAGAAGGAUAAAUUAAAAGGAGCAUAUGAUGUUGCUCAAAUUUCUGCUUCUAUUACUGUUGUUUCUACUGCAUCUUCAACCCUUUUUUUUUUUUAUUUGUUUUUCUUACAUAGAAAGAAAAUGAGUACAAACAUAAGAAAAUUAAAAAAUUGUUUCUAUUGUGUACAUGUAAAAUAAAAAUUGAAUAACAUUCUAAACCAUAAAAUUGACAGUUACUUAUGUUUUCAUAGUUGGUAUUGCCGCUGAUACUUUUAAUGCUGGUGAUGCUCCUUCUAAUUUUACUCUAGGCUUAGACUUCAAUAAAUUUUAUUAGUAAUCAAUAAAGAUAAUUUAUACAUUUUAACUGUUACAAAAAUGAAUUGUACCGAAAAGUAAAAAUUACCUCAAUAGUUACUUCAUCGAUUGUUGAGAGAAAUCAAUGGUUGCAACAAUUGUACAAUUGCUAUCCGAUCAGUUUUAUCAUAUAAAAAUUUGUUGAUAUAUAAUCAUAUAAUUAUUCAUUUUUCAUCAUCGUCAAUAACAUAAGAAAUAAAAAACGUAUAUAAUAAAUUUGUAAAAUCUAUUAAAAAGUAAUUAAAAUUAAAAAGGUAAAUAUUAAAAUAAGUGAAAACAUUUAUUUGAAACUAUAUAGAAAUUUUUUAAAUAGCUCUCUAUAAUUGGUAACCAAAAAAUUAAAUAUCUCACUAAUUCCUAAAUUAGAGAAUGUUUCUAUAUUUUUUUCUUGGUUAUUAAUUUUGCCUAGUUGUCAGGGAGCAUAGAUUUAGCGAAAUGAACUAAUUUUUCUAUUGUAAAUAUAUAAGCAGGCACAUUUAAUUUGAAUAGCUCUCUUAUCCAUAAAUUAGAGGAUUAAUAGUAAUUUUUAUUUUUUUCUAAAAAAAUAUGAAUAUAGUAGGUUAAUUAAACUUAAUAUAUAUAAAAGGGUUAUGAAUAGAAACGCUUACAAAUUCAAAACCGAAUGAUCGCAGAAGCCACCAAAAGCAUGCCGACGGUAAGAAAGCAAAAUUCAAAUUUAUUAAAGAAUAUAUAUGCAGUAGGCAAACCAAACUAAGUUUAUAUAGAAAAAUUAUGCACAGAAAAACUUAUAUACUUAAAACCAAAUGACGGCUGAACAACCACCAAUAGUUAACAUAUUCCUAAGUCAAAGAUAUAUCAACAUUAUUUUUUAAAAAACUUUAUAUGAUAGAUAAUCGAAGUUACAAAAAAAAAUAACAAAUAGAAAUCAAUGAUAAAAAUCCUUGAAAACAGAGAAACUGUUGCAGCCAACUGCGGUCAGUUUCCUGAGAUGAAAGAAAUAAUAUUCAGUAUUAAAAAAAUUAUGUUGUAGGCAAAUUGAAAUAUUAAAAAGAAAUAUAAGCAUAGAUUUGAGAUUUCUCACAGAAAAAAUUUUCUAUUCUAUAGGAAUUGUCUUUAUAUCUUCAUUUGAAAUCAGGCAACAGCAUUACAGUUUAUAGUGUCAUCUAAUAAUAUGUUCUUUGAUUAGAGAAAGUUGAGGCAAUUAGAGGUUCGCAAUUGUCUUGGCGUCUACAUUGACCAAUUAAUUACCUGAAAUUCAAGCUUCAAAAUAGUUUAAAAUUUUUAAAAGACAAUUGCAGAAGAAUUAUCGUGGUUCAACUACAAAUUAGCAAUAUAAAAACAAUAAUCAUAACCAAUAAUAAUGUAAGGUGGUGGAGUGCUGACUCUGCAGAUUUCCAGCGAUGACCUUUAGUGUUUUGGCUCGUGCGCGACGUAGGGAGGUCGGAUCACUGUGAAACUUGGUUUAUUGGAUUCUAGACUUCCAAAGAAAUCCAUAAAGCCCUGAAUUACAGAUUUUGGUUGAAGUUAGCUUGGUUGUUUACACGUUUUUCUAGACUGCUGGCAAUAUUGAGCUGAAAUUGAGGAUUUUGAGCUUUUCUUGAUGCUAUCUUUGUAGGCAGUGGACUUUUGGACCUGAGACACAUCAUUCUUCUAUACUUACUGGAUUUGAGACCUUCCUCACCUAAUUUGGAGGUAGUUAGGUGAGUUUUGACAUUGCAAUUGAGAUUAAAUUAAGCCUUAGUGCUGAAAUAGUGUUAAUUGAUGGAAUUCAAUGUGUAGAGCUUGGAGAUAGCUUGAUUUCUGGUGUUGGAGGAUUUUGGUUGAUCCAGCAGGGAUUAGCAUUGGUUCGGGACCCUUCUUUGCUGCCAGGAUUAGCAAUUAAGGUGGGUGUAUCAUUGGUUUCGCUCCUAAGUGCAUGUUUAGUCGACGCGUAUGAUUUUCGGUUCUUGUAUAUCAUGCUUAAUUCAUUGAUUAGCAUCUUGGCUAUAAUAUGAAUAUUGAAGCAUGCUGAAAUGAGUAUUUACAUUAUUCAUGUUGGACUUGGAAAUAUCUUAGGAGAAAAUUGCGUUUUGACCCGUCAUAUGAUUCUACUACCUGAUUUAGCUUUAGGAGCCGUGUUUUGAUUGUAUCAUCGCUGUUUCAACGCGGUGGAUAUCCGGGGUAGUUUAGAAUGCAUUUUACGCUCGUGCUGGGAUGCCGAGCUUAUUUUUACAGCAGAGUCUAGGCUGUUUCGGGUUGUCGGGUGCCGUCGGGGUAGAUGGUGGACCCAGAUUCUUGUUUUGGUCUCAGAUUGUGCCGAGAGCACGUGGGUUUGGUUUCUAGACCUGUUUUGACCCUAGUUAUUUGACUUUGGCUUGUUAGAGCCUGAUUGAGCUCGACAGAGAUACGCUUGCAUACUCGGUUGGGUAGCGCCCACGAGUGCUACUUCGGAGUCGGGCUUUGCGAGUUUGCGUUGGUGUCGUUCGUGCAGGUUGGACUUGCUCUCAACGAACUAGUUAGUGUAGAGGUAGCUGGAUAGUCGCAACCAAGCGGGACGGGUGUGUUCACAGUCCCAGGGACGGGUAUGAUUACAGUCCUUACUUGAGUUUGGGUCUGAGUUGACAUAGUUCUACAGAGGGUUAAGAGUUAGAGCAUGAUAGUAUAGCGAUAUUUAGUUGUAAAUUCGUUCCAGCUUUCUUUACUAUUCCUGCUUAUCCUUGUAGACUUAGUCGGUGGACCGAUGAGUUCGAGGGUGGUACCCACUAAGAACUACUUUUUGUAGUAGUUCUCACGCCUCGUUGUUACCCUGUUUUUGCAGAGCCUUCUGUUCCGGCUGCUGCUACUACCGAGACUGAUCGUGGUAAGGGCGUUGCGAGUUAGAGCCCUUCCAGACAAGUCGCAGAGUUAGAGGAGCACCAGCUACAGGUAGUUGUAGUUUUUGGGUCUUUACAUACAGUUGUUAUAUCUCGCCAGAGCGAGUAGUUGUAUACCUGGAUUACAUGUAUGUAUUGAACCACAGUUUAUAUAUAUAUAUGGUUUAUUUCUUUAGCUGCUCUGUACUACUGUUUGUAGUAUUGUAUGGUUACGGGUGCUUCUAUUUUUUGCUUCGUAUACAGGAAAAAUACUUAUGUAUACGGCGGGUCUGUUAGUGAGCCCGAAAAAACGAGUAAUCCGGGGUGUGACAUAUAUAGGAUAUAGAAAGAAACAGUAAAUAAAUGAAAGGCGGUGAAUGAUUCACCGUCGACUUUAAAAAAAGGGAGAAAGCGGGAAAGAAAUAGAAGAAAGCGAUGAACGAUUCACCGCCUUUAAAAAAAAUUCUGAUGUGGCGCCGACGUGGCGAAAGAAAGAUUAGUUUUUCAAAUAAAAUUUUGAGAGGGUUAUUUCGUAAAUUUUAAAAUUUUAGAGAAUUAUUUUAUUUUAUAAAAAAGUCCCUUGUAAGUCUAUCACUAUGGCAGUUUCGUCAUCUUAUUAUGGCCUCCGAUAAAUCAAUGAAUAAUUAAUGAAUAUAGCUGUAUGUUUAGAGCUUUUACUGUUUUCAGCUUUGGGUCUAUGAUCGACAUAGUGUAAAGAUAACUCAAACAUACAUUUUGGAUUUCAACUCGUUUUAACGUGGUGGUGAUUUAAAAGUAAAAAACAAUAUCAUCAACCCCGAGGUACAUCCGCAGACCUCGAGCGACUCACCGCAUGUUUAAUGAUUCGGAUAUAAAGUUCACAAUAUUUAAAACGUUGAUUCUUUCAACUGUAAAGAAGAGGAUUUAUUUGAUUUGUUGAAAAAUAAUAUAUGAAAUAGAUAGAUUGUAAGAAAAUAAUAUAUAAAAUGUACAAUUUUUUUUUUAGGGGCAAAUAGAUACUGUACAGUGGCACAAAAUAUAUUUAAUAAAUCAGAUUUUCGGUGCAUGGUUUUAAGAUACGCGCUGCAUGGGGUGUAUAUAUAGCUGCAUCUGCGGCGUAUCAACGUCGUACAAUUUGUUCAGCACAUUACAUCUUUUGGCGGAACUUUCCAACCAGACCGAGGGCGAUAGGUGUCGCACUGGGGAUCGAGCACCACAAGUCGUACGAAGUGCAAGCUGGCAGCCCAACCGAGAGGACCCGUUCCCCUCGCGGCAAAAGCUUGAGAUCGCCUCGAUCCGCGUGCCACAUUUUUCCUACCAAUCUUUCCUUUCCUUUGCUUCCUUUCCUUUGCUUCCUACAGUUAUCAAAUGAGGCAUCAACUACAAAGUCAAAUUGAACUGAUUCUAAAAUUAAAAAUUAAAGAAAGUAAUUUUUGGAAUCCAAAACUUACAAAAAAAUCCAUUUAUUUAGAAGAAUAUUAGAAAUAGAGCAAUCGAGGAAGUGAAGCAAAGAUAUUUCAAACUAUCAUACUACCAUAGGUGUGAGAAAAGUAUCAAAGUAGGAAAUCUAAAAGAUGAUUAUCCAAUCCAAUAGUUUUUGAUGUACACAGGCUGCACAUUAUCAAACAACCCAAAAAUAUCAGCCUUCACAAAAUUAAAACCAAAAAAAUAUCAGUGAAAAGUAGAUCCUGAAUCCAUAUCAGUGAAAAGUAGAUCCUGAAUCAAGGAAAAGGGUGCAUACUGUCAAGUGAGGCAUCAACUACAAAGUCAAAUUGAACUGAUUCUAAACUUAAAAAUUAAAGAAAGUAAUUUUUGGAAUCCAAACUUGCACUAUAAAGAAGCCCAACAUCAGCCUCCACAAAACUAAAAAGUUUAAAAUCACAAAUAAAUCAUGAAAAAGUAUAUAUUCAAGCGAGUUGAAAUUAAAUUGAACUGAUCCCAAACUUGAGAAUUAAAGGAAGAAGUGAGUGGAAUCCAAACCUACACUAUAGAGAAGCCCAACAUCACAGUAUAUUUAUGCAAUAACUUUAUUAAAUUUAAAGGAAGAAGUGGGAGAUUAAAAAGCACUAUAGAACAUAGAAAAUCUAGAAGCCACAAUCUGCAGUAAGCGUAGUCAUCAAAAUACAUAUUUAAAUAGACUAGUGAGUAGCUUUAAACCAAAAUGCAAAUAUGAAAUAAGCGACGCAUAGGAACGAGACGGUUACAAAAAUCAUGCGCGCAUACAUAAUCAUGAGUUACAAAAUGAGCAGUAGCAAGGCUCGAAACUUUUCUUUUGACCUUCAACAAUAAAACUAAGGGAGCCGAUGUGCCAUUGGAUGGAUCGGUUUCUGUAUUUGGUGGAAUAGUGUAACGACCCGACCAGCCAGCAAUAAUAACUCAUUGGGCCCAAACAACCGGUCCAAAAUGCUUAAGCUCAGUUAUUAUGUCUAGCCCAAUCAAGCUUAUAUACUUCCACAUCUAGCCAUAACUACCUGAUGUGGGACUGUUGGGGUGUCACAGACUCCCUUCCGUUUAGGCCCUGACGUUCUCGUCAGCCCUGAACACACACACAAUCCAAGAUCACUAGGCGAUGUGAGACUUGUCUCGCUAGCCUUUGUCAUUCUGGCCUUGACUAAGUCUGUCAAUUACCGACCCUGGCUUAGUCUGUCAUUCUGAUCCUGGCUCAGCCAAGACUCAUCUCACAAUUCCAACUGGUGAACUGGCUCUGAUACCAAAUGUAACACUCCGACCAGCCAACAAUAAUAACUCGUUGGGCCCAAACAACAGGCCUAAAAUGCUUAAGCCCAAUUAUUAUAGCUAGCCCAAUCAAGCUUAUAUACUCCGACAUCUAGCCAUAACUAUCCGAUGUAGGACUAUUGGGGUGUCACAAAUAGGAAUCAGACGGUUAAUCACAGCAUGGCACUCUUCAAUAGCACGACGUAUCUGGACAUGCUCGAUCACGAACUCAUUUAUCUGUGCAAGAGUAGCGACGUAACAAUCCUUCACAAAGUUAUACUCACGAACCAAGUUCAUAUACUGUGCGAACAACAUAGCAUACUUUGUGGCUAGAUGAUUGUAUAAAUUUUUGUAAAAGAUACUAUCAUCAAAAUUUACAUCUCUAACUUGCAAAUCUAAUUCCUCCACCAUCCUCUUAGUAGCAACACGAGCAGCAUCAUGCUCAGCCUCAGCAGAUGUGGAGGAUUGCAACCCCCAACAUCGUACAAUUUCAAUUAUAGAUUCAUUUCGUUCAAUCGGAAGAUCUAUAUAUGCCAGGUAAGUCCCCUCUGCAGCGGGAGCAACAACACACUGUGAUGUUUCCAUAUGCAGCUUCUCACAAAUCUCACGGAACAAUCGAAGGUAAGAAAGCUGAACCGUCGACAUAGUAGUAGCUGCAAAAGAAGAAGGCCGAGGAAAAAAGAAAGGGAAAAGGGAGGUAAAAGAGAAGUUAGUUGUAAAAAAAUACCAGGUCUUAAAAAAUAGGGUAAGACAGUUGUUAAAGCUAAAACGCAACAGCAAUUGCAAAAGUAAAUAGUAAAGAAUUAGCAGAGCAAGAAUAGUUGCAAGGAAGACAAAAUAAUAGAGAGCUUAAAAAGUAAUAAAGUAAAAAGCUAAAGGAUUCAUCUUACUUAAAGAAGAACUUUGACAGUAAUAAAGUAAAAAGGGAAAAAGAUUUAGCUUAGGUAAUAAAAGAAGUUUUAAAAAUAUUGAGAAAGUACUGCUGAAAAAAUGCUAUAUAAUGAAACCUUCACAAUAGAGGGUAAGACAGAAUAGUUGGAAAGAAGCCUAAGUAAUAGAGAGCUUAAAAAGUACUAAAGUAAAAAGGAAAAAUGAUUCAGCUUACUUAAAGAAGAAUUUAAAAAGUAGCAAAGUAAAAAAGAAAAAGGAUCGGCCUACGUAAUAAAUGGAGUUUUAAAAAUAUUGAGAAAGACUGCUGAAAAAAUGCUAUGUAAAGAAACCAGGAGAAAGUAUUUGAAAUGAAAGUAAGAAAGUAACCAGAAGAAAAUAUUUGAAAUGAAAGCAAGGCAAAGGCAAGGAAAUCUGCAAGGCUCAGGUAAGGUAGGCAAGUACUUUAAUCCAACAGGAUUGAAGAACCCUCAAGGCAAACAACAGAAUAUUCAUAAUUGAUCUAUCAGUAUUGAAAAGAGGCAUGCAACCCAUCAGCGAAAGAAGAACCCCCAAGGCAAAUAAUCUGAAAAUAGGAAGUGGCUGCCUAUGUUAAGGCCGUCCAAACUUCUAUUUGUUCAUGCCUGCUUUUCGUAACUUUUAGUAUUUUGCAUUCUUUGUGCCUGACUUUCAUCAUUGCCUAGCAGAUGAAAAUAGAAAGUGGUUGCCUGUAAUAAGGCUGUCCAAACUUUUAUUUAGUAUAAGACACCACUUUCUAGCACACGGGCAAGGAAGAAAAUAGAAGGAGUAGGAGCAAAAACCAAAAAGCUAAAAGUCAGUGCAAGUUCGAAAAGACAAUAAAUCGAAACUCAUAAUACGAAAUACAGAAAGAAAGUUGGGCAAAGCCGGCCUUUAAAAAAUCAGUAAAGAUGGCCCAUGAAGAACAGAAAACUUUAUAGCCAUGGUUUUUAGAAAUGAAUAAACCUUUCUACAGAUAGAUAAGAGGAAACCACACUGGCAGUACUCUAUUUCUGUCUUUAUCUAGACAACAUUUAUCUACUACAGAAAUUAAAAGGAGAGGAGAAGCAACCCAAGAACAACCUCUGUGAGUAUGCAGUAAAGUACAAACUAAUGAAGGGGCCUGCAAAACAGCACAACUAUUAUUAGUUAUUAUUAGCAGAAUAAAGAGAGAGUAAUUACACAAGUAAUUAAUGUUUUGAAGUCAGGAAUAUACCUUCUUGUCUUGGAUUGAGGAGUACAAUGUCGCAUGCAGUAAGUAACAAAUGUGUUCAGACCCACAGACCCAUAGGAGUGAAGAGGGUGUGAGUGGUAAGAAUAAUGAUGUAGAAGAUCUUUCUUCAAAAGAAAGAAUCUAUGCAAUCUUUUAAAACUGUAACCAGAUUCAAAACUCUAACCAGAUCUGUAAAAAAAAUAAAAUAAAUAUAAGCAGAUUUGCAAGAACUUCUCAAAAUCAUAGAGGCUAGGUUUAGAUAUAGGAGCAUCUAUAUCGAUGAGGAUUCACUGUAAGAUAGAAGAAAAGCAGCGCAGGGACAAAAAGAAGGGAGAAAAGGGAAAAAUGUAUAAAAUCCAUUCAAAAUCUAAAAGGAGAAGAAAUGAAUAAAAAUGUAUAUAAAAUCCAGUAAAAAUUAGAUAUAAUCCAUUUAAAAAUGCAUAUAAAAUCCAAUAAAAAUAUAAAAGAAGAAGCAAUGAGUAAAAAUUUGUUGGAACUCUCAUAGAUCUAAGGGCAAGAUGUAUAUAAAAAUCCUAAAAAUAUAAAAUAAACCCUCAAAGCUCUAAAAAUAGCCAGGUAGGUUGCUCAUCACCCGCGGUCGAAUGGAGCGGCGAAGCGAUCCAGAGAGGCAUCGGAGUUGGGGACUAUGAAGGAGUGCCAGGAUAGGUCGAUCCAAUCAACCGGGGGAGCGAAGAGAGAGGCCUCGAAAGAGGUGUACAGAGAGAAGUAUGGGCACCAUAGAGAGAAGAGAGAGAGAGGGGAUAGGGCAGUAAUCAGAGAAGAGAGGCAGGAAGAGGAGAGACUGAGAGAGAGAUAGAGGAUAGGGCAGGCAUCAGGAAAGAGAGGCAGGGAGAGAAGAGACGCCUCGAAAGAGGCGUAUACCGAGGAGAGAGAGCGCGAGAGAGAGAGAGGAUAGGGCAGUCAUUAGAAAAGAGAGGCAGGGUGAGUUGAGAGCGAGAGAGAGAUAGAGAAUAGGGUAGGCAUAAGAAAGAAAGGCAGGGAGAGGAAAGACGCCUUGAAAGAGGCGUAUACCGAGAAUAUAGAGCAAGAGAGAGAGAUAGGGAAGCAGAGAGAGACAUAUAGAUAGCGCCUAAAAGAAAAGGAAAAAAGGUUUAUACGACGUGGAGGUGGGAAAAGCCACCACGUAUACUGAGGAAACCGUCAAAUUAUGAAGUUGUAUGGAUACUUUUUUUUAUAUAUUUAUAAUUUUUCAAACAUUUUAUUUUUAUAAUUAUUUUUUCUUACUAUUCAAUCAACCAUUUAUUUAACCUUAUAAAACCACUAUCAUUCAAAUUAUAUAUUAUACAUUUCUUCACUCAACGGUAGAAAACUUAUGAUUAUAAAAAAAAAUAUUAAUUCUAACUAAAUUUUUAAUAUAAUAUAUUUUAAAAUAUACUAAAAAAUAAUUAUUUUCAGUUCGGAUUCUAAAUUCUUUGAUCAAAUUUGAUUUAAGUUAGAAAUUUUCAAAAUUGGAAUUUAGGUUCCAGAUUGGAUUGUCAGUUUGGGUGUGGAUUUUUUAAAAACUCACCCAUCCGAAUCCGACCGUUUGACUUCCCUAACUUAGUUACUUUUUUUUUUUUUAAUACAAAUUUAAUUUUUUAAAAACAAACGAAUAAAUACUAUCUUUUUAUUAAAAAAAAAAAAAAAUCCUCGGUCCAGCUCAACCACUCCCAUUCGCUUCUUCUUCCUCGACUCCAACGCCUCCACAACUUCAUCUCCCUCCCCCCGCCCCUGCAGUCUGUCAUCGCAUCUCCUUUUCUAAUUACAAAGAAGAUGCUGAUGCUGAUAGACUGCUCCCGCUGCCGCACGCCGCUGCAGCUGCCGGCGGGGGCGCGCUGCCUGCGCUGCGUCGUCUGCGGCGCCGUCACCUACGUCGCCGCCGCCGCGGCCGACGGCCCCCCUCCCCCGCCAUCGCCCUCCCCUGAUCGUUCCAAUAAUUAUGGCUUCGGCGCCACCGCCCCUCCGUGGGGGCCUUCGCAGCCCCCGCCCAGCCCCCACGGGCGGAAGAGGGCAGUGAUCUGCGGCAUCGCCUACCGGAACACCCGGAACGAGCUCAGGGGCUCCAUCACCGACGCCGCCUACAUGAAGCACCUCCUCGUCAACCGCUUCAAGUUCCCCGAACCCUCUAUCGUCGUGCUCACGGGUACGCACUUGCUGAAAUUACAGCUCUAAUUUGAUUCUCUUAUGGUGAUGAUGAUGAUGAUGAUGAUGAUUGUGUUGGGGCGAGAGGUUGUUAAAGGAACUUUUAAAUUGUAAUGACUCAGCCCGCUAGUAUUAACACGGACUCAAAAUGUUUAAGCCCACUAGUUGAUAAUGGAAUGCUAGGCCCAAUUAGGGCCGGCAAUCCUGCUUGCUGCUCGCGAGCCAAUUCGUAUUCGGCUCAAAAUGAGCUCGAGAUUGAUCGAUCGUUUAACAACCGACCCGAACACGAUGAAUUUUUCAGCUUGAAAUAUUAACGAGCCGAACACGAGUGCGUCAAUUCACUCAUGUUCAACUCGAUAUAGCUCAAAUCGAUGAUGGAACAUCCGAUUCGACGAUCGGUUUUGUUAGACAAGAUCUGCAGUGUUAGAACUUUUUAGAAACCAAAUUUUGUAAUUUUUUAACUUCGUAUCCUUAAAAUGAACGGCUGGAAAUAAAAAUCUCAUAAAAAAUAAUGAUAACAGACUCAAAUUUUAAACUAGUAGUAUUGAUCUUGCUUUUGAUGUUAAAUAGAAUUUUCUAUUAAAGUUUAUGUAAUUUGGAUUCUUUUACACUGUUGAACUUACAAACGUGCCACAUCGACCGUUAAAAUAGUCAUUUUCAAGACCCUUUGAUCACUUGGUAAAUGAUGUUGAAAAAUUAUGAAAUUUGGUUUCUAAAAUCUAAAUAGUUUUAAUAGCGUAGAUCAUCUCUAACGAAGCCGAUUGUCGAAUUGGAUGUGCUAUUAUCGAAAACAACUUACAAGCAAAAUGACCUCUAUCCUUUAGAAAGCACAAGAGACGUACUCUCUCUCUAUAUAUAUUACAAAUUUCUACUAUUUGGAUUUUAGGUCAACCCAAAUGUAAAUAGACCUAUAUUUUGUGAAUUUUAAAUAUUAGAUUAAGAUUCUAAUUUUUUAAUUCUCUUUAAAAUUUUCAUUUAGUAGCAAGGCUAAUAAUUUAACUUGUUGUUCGCCAGCCUGUUCAGCUCAUUAAUAAACAAGCCGAACACGAGAUAAAUUUUUUAGCUCGAUAUUUUAACGAGCCAGCUCGUGUUCGGCUUGUUAAAUAUAUAAACAAACACUAGACGACUCCAACUCGCUCGUGUUGGGCACGUCGAUAGCCCUAGGCCCAAUCACGAUGUGAGACCUAGCUCACAUUUUUGGCUAGCAAGCUGGCUCUGGUACCACCAAAAUAAUUACCCAGCCUGCUAGUACUAGCAACUUGUUGGGAAGCCUACUUAUUUAUACUAGAGUGCUUUGCAUAUAUACUCCCAUAUUGAGCCUCUUCCCCAUCUAAUAUGAAACUCUUGCUAUGUCAUGCGAUUACUCUAAAGGCUUAAGCUUCCCUAUCCGAUUGGAUUUGAAUUCAGGAUCCGAUUCUUUAAUACAGUGCGAAAGAGCCUACUAUUCUAAAAGUUUAAACAGUUAUAGAACGGCAUUUUUAAUCAUUUAUAUUCAAUAGUUACACUGAACUUUAGGGACUUUCAUUUUCUACACUUUUUUUCUGAAGUUCUUCACAAAUCUUGCAUUAUAUAUGCCAAUCCCUUAAUUUGUUAAUGAAUGAUAGCUGACGUUGGGCACAGUUAUUGUAGUUGGAACCUAUCUACUUUUCUUAGUUAAUUCUUCUCUUAAAUGCAAUAGUUGUCUCUUUUUUUAAAAAAAAAGGAAAUCAAAUGUUGAGUGAAUUGUCUAUUCUCGGAUGCCAUUCAUUUGAGAAGUUAACAGAAUCUCUAAACUUAAUUAAGAAAACUCUUAGAUAUUUAACUCCUGAAAUCAAUCUUACUCAAUCUUCCUAAUUUUCUCCGGAGACUUGGGCUUCUAUGUCUUCAACAUAGUUUGAUUUUCUCCUUCUUGAACUUUGUCACCUUCGUAGAAAACUUCUUGAAUUUUUGCUAGUGUUUUCCCCGCUUCUCGUGUUGUUUUUGCUGUUAAAAUAUUCUCAACCAAUGACAAAUUCACUAUUUGGUAAAUAUAUGGUAAAACUUCUGUCUCUUUCUCUAAAUUUUUCUUUACCAAAUUCUUUCUCAUAAUUUCUAUUCUCUACCACAUCCGACAAAUUUUGGGAUUCUAAAAUACAUUGAACGAUGAUUUUCCAUCGCUUAAUGUUCGUUCCAUUGAACUUUGAUAAGCCAUGUUGAAGAAACCAAUCCAAAUCCAUAAUAGAACUCAAAAAUCCAAAAAGAAUUUUAGAUUCGUACCUUUUUAAUAAGAUGACAUUCUUACUGUAUCGAGAUCUAGCCGAGUUUUCACUUUUCCGUACUUCGACUUGCUUGCCGAGCCCCCUUAGUUAUCUGGUCAAGUCUUCUUUUAUCUCUUCAUAGGCUCUUCUUGCUCUCUUUUCAUCAAGCGUCACAACCACCUACUUUUGUGUUGUUUGUAGGCCGCCUUCUUCGAGGUUGUGUGUUGUUUAGAGGCCGACUUCGUCGAGCGAUUAUUUUAGUUGCUUUCACUUGAACGUCGCCCUCACAAUCUGCUAUGAGUCGUCUAGCUUUGACAUAACUAUUUGGCACUUUGGUUCUAUCUAGCUCUUUUCAGCUUUGUUGUCAUCUGACUUUGAUGUCGUUCAACACUAUACUAUUCUUUCCAUCUCUGAUACCAAUUGUUGAAAUCGGUACUUGCGUUGUUACCGAUUUUAUAAUCCAGGAUCUAAAAUACUAAAAUAGAAUAAUAUGGAAAAGAGACAUUGGAGAAGGAAGAUAAAUAAACUAAUACUUACAUAUUGAGGGACCCUAAUAAAUCUCAACUACUGCUUGGCCCUGGCUUCAUUAAGCCGUCAACUUACCUGGCUCAUAUCUCGGCCGUGAGUUUCUAAUCCACAGGUCCAUACAUAUAUAUAGGCCUCAACAAAGUAUCAAUCCCGAUCUAAAUUCAACUUCAAAUCGUAAUAACAAUCAAAUAAUUGAGCAUUAAACUUAUCUCUAAUUAUACAUUGGAAUUAAAUUUGGAUCAUUAUUCCAACAUGAUGAUCAGAGAAUUUGAGAUAUUUCAAUGGGAACUUCUUCAGCAUUUUCUUUCAACUCUGAACGGAGUUAUCUCUAAAAUGAGAGUGUAGCAGUUUUGGGUGGGUAAGUACGCAGAACUAUUGGAAAGCUCCUUUUCUUUUUGAUUUUGAAUUUAAACCAUAAUAAACUGGUCUGGACGUUUAUUAGUUUAAUAGAAGCCUGGAGCCCUAUUAUCAUACCAUAGAUUUUCUCUUUAGAAAACUAAAUCUUUUGUUUGGAUAUAUAGGCCAUGAAAAUCUCAAUGUCCAUGCAAGUUAAGCUACUUAGAUGGCCCUUUUUGUUUCUGCCGUCAUCAACUCUGAUUUUCAAUUUUCACAAUGAAACCGAACAAGUUUUAUAUACAACCUGGUCUGAAAUUUUUGGAUCUUGACUAAGAACAUUUUUGAUGGUGAGCCUAAAUGCUUAUGACUCUAGCUAUAAGCAGCUCUAACUAAUCGUAUUUUGAUUUUGCAGAUGACCAAACUGAUCCAUAUAGAAUACCAACCAAACAUAAUAUAAGGAUGGCAAUGUAUUGGCUCGUGCAAGGAUGCCAACCAGGAGACUCUUUGGUAUUCCACUACUCUGGUCAUGGUUCACAGCAGAGAAACUAUACCGGCGAUGAGAUUGAUGGUUUUGAUGAGACCCUUUGUCCGUUGGACUUUCAAACACAAGGAAUGAUUGUUGACGAUGAGAUCAACGCGACCAUCGUCAGACCGCUUCCUAGUGGGGUUAAGCUUCAUGCUUUUGUUGAUGCUUGCCACAGUGGCACUGUGCUGGAUUUACCUUUCCUUUGCAGAAUGAAUAGGUCAGUUUUUUUUUUUUUUUUUCUUUUUUUUUUAAGCAGCUUCUAUUCUAGUAGUUAUUUGCUUGUGACACAGUCUUCGUGUGCUUAGAGCUUCUUGUUCAAGAAUUUAAGGUGCCUAUCGGCACGGGCCCUGCCCAACAUGCUGUUCCGUAUCGACAAGAUAUCGGCACAAUACAACCAUCAUGCCAAUGACACAGCUCAAAAUCUUCUUUUAUUUGAAAUUAGUGAAUAGUUAUAUCAAUAGAAUGCAAAAGAUUUAAUAAAAAUAUGUAAUAAGCAAUUAGACUAUAUCGUUGCUGAAGAAAAUAAGUAUUUUAAGCCAUAGUGUGUCAACAUAUAGGUACUUUUUCAAGCGUCAAAUAUCGGUAUGGCAGGGAUGCACCGUGCCAUUCCGUGCGUCUGUGCUAGCAGUUCUUGGCAUGACUCCAUGCCACUCCAUAAAUCCUUGCUUUUGUUGUUUACAAGGCUAAACUUCAAAAUCGGCACUGUGGUAUAGUGCAUUUUCGCGUUGGUGCACUAUGGAUUCUUUUCUAUCACAUAGGUGCCCUGAGUUUGGUAUUGAAAUUAUUCCUCAAGGACCUUUUUUCUAGCCCUGUUGGUAUUUGUGUGUGUUUCCAGUUCAAAUCGUUGUUGGCUCGGUUUUUUUAAGUCUAAACUCAACCGAGAACCCGAAUGCAAGCCCAUCUUAUAAGGGGUUUCUGAUUAAGUUUGAAUCAGAACACGACCUAAGCCCUGACCUAACACGACCCAACCUGUUUAUAUAUAUAUAUAUAUAUAUAUAUAUAUAUAUAUAUAUAUCCGAUCCCAACUAAAAACUUUUGAAGCUCUAAAUCGGGCACCUAAAUUAUACAGAGGAAAUCAAAGGAUGCUGACAUAUUCAUGGGCUAUACUAUUGGAUCAUUUUCUGAAGUUAAUGCUCGUUAUAAACAGAUCCUCCACUUAUAAAGAAUUGUCUAAGAAAGUUUAUAAGUAUUUAAAUUACAGUUUUCAGUUCACUAAAUGUGAACAACUAGCCAAAUGUAAUCAUCAACUUUUUUCUAUU